UUUUUCUUUUCUUUAUCUAUUUUUGUUUAAGAGUGAAAAACUGCAGUUAUGUCAUUGACAGAGAAGUACAAAACGAUUUUGUACUAGUAAUUUCAGCCAGACCCUUUUUCUUGUUUAUAAGUAAAAAAAAAAAAAAAGAAAAAAGUUUAUGGAAAAUAAUACUAUCAAAAAGGGCCAAAUUUGGCUAGUUGAUAGUGAUCAAGUUCAACAAAUUACUCCACAAACAUCCAAACUUCAUUAAUGCUUAUAAGUAACAUUAGUUUUGCUCACAACAUAUUGAAACCAAUCUUCCAGAUGGUCAGCUAUAGCUACCCACCUACCGAAAAGAACGGACAACGAGAUCAAGAACUACUGGAACACCCACCUAAAGAAGAGGCUGGCGAAGAUGGGCAUCGACCCGGUAACUCACAAGCCGAAGAACGAAACCCUGGGCUCGCCCCAAGGCUACUCCAAGAGCACGGCCAACCUCAGCCACAUCGCUCAGUGGGAGAGCGCGCGCCUUGAAGCCGAGGCUCGGCUUGCGAGGGAAUCCAAACUCCGAGCGACAUCCCUCUCUGCCACUCUCCGCACGACGGAGGGGUCACCGACAUCCACAUUGAGCUUCUCAGAGAAUAAUAACAUGCUCCGUGCUGCGAUCAAUGGGCCAGGGAGUGGAGAAUUGGUAGCAGAUGAAGAAGUGGAGUGGAAAUGCCUCGGAAAGAGGACGAACACCGACUUCUUGGGCUUCCAGGUGGAUACGGCGACGACUUUGGCUUUUGGCGGAGAAGUGCAGUGGAUUCCAGAAACAUCCGAUGGGGAAGUCGGCGCCGGAUUCACUGGCAUGCUGCUGGAUAAUUCGUCCGACGUUGGUGGUGGCGAAUCCAAUAAUGCACGCGGAGGGAGCUCUAUUGAGGAGGGGGAAGAGAGCGGGAACUACUGGAAUAGUAUCUUCAACUUGGUGAUUUCAUCGUCCCCUCCGGAUUCGCCAUCGGUAUUCUGAAAAAUGAAACCUGUCAAGAAUCUUGAUCCAAUGAGUUCAUUUGAUUCUUACAAGUGGUUUGAUUAACUCGGUCUUAAGGCGGCCCGAGUCAAUUCAAAUUGGUAGAAAUGUACUCAGAAAAAAAAAAGGGGGGGUGGGGGUGGGGGUGGGGGUGGAAGGAAAAAAGCUAGAAGGAUUCAGUGAAUUUUUUUUAUAAAAAAAACAAUCAUGUAAUAUUAUUAAUUCCUUAUUAUGGUAGGUUGCAUAUUGCUUUUCGUUCAUGGAGUAAUGUUGUAUGUUAGUAAUAAGAACAAUAACAAUGUACUAGAAACACUGCUGUUGUAAGAAAUUAAGUGCCCUGAGGAUUUCUCCUCCACGGUGGGGUCGGUGCAUUUAAUUAGUACAGGACUUUACAGUUGUUUGUUCAGUGUCUACGUUUCUCUCCGUCUCAAGCAGUUUUUUCAAUUAAUUUGCAAGUCCUUACAUUGAAAUGAUUGUAAAUUUCGACACUACCUAUCCGUCAUAUUCAUUAAGUCAACAUCAAGGGCCUUCACUGUUCUUACUAGCAACAUAAAUACAGAGGUAAGAGGACUCGGCCAUUGAUUACAUUAGUAUACUGAUGAUGAUUUUAUGAAGGAACUUUAUGAAGAAAAUAUGAAAGAACUUUGCGAAGAGUAUGCAUGCGGAUUUGCACUGUAAUUAGCACUGUUAACUCAGAACUACAUGUCACACUCAAUUUCGUUCUUCAGUUAUUUCAUAAUAAGAACGAAAGGAAAGAAGCUCGCUUUAAAAAUGAAUAUGGGAAACUCAGUAUAAAACAUCUAUAAAAAGAACUCUGACGAUUAAAGGGUAGGAAUUCUGGUACUUUCAUUAUUAUAAAGUCAUGAGAAUCCACUGACUAGUAGAAAAAAAAAUACAAUCCAAUACAAACGAGAUCAGAGAAGGUUAUAGCAAAUAUUCUUUCACCCAUAAAUCAAGAAGGUUAUUUCUGCAGGUCAAACCUAUUGUAUCGAAACUACCAUAGUGAAACCUUUAGUCUAAACAGAAUAAAUGAUCGUCAUAAUGGCGCUUUGUGACCCAACUUCUCAACUCUGCUCCCUCUGGUAACAUGUAAAAAAGUUUCACUUUUGGUUUAAUAAGCCCGGACAGAUAAAUAGAUAGAUGAACCAAUGAAGCGAGAUAAGAGAUGAAACACAAACCUGGCACUGAAGGAAAGGAAUACGUACUCUCGGUCCCAUUGAAACCGUUGUCAGUCGCCAUCGCUUUAUUUAAUUCCCAUGUUGUUGCCUCGCCCUUUUGCCCAUGGCUGCUUCUAAUCCAACUCUGCAAACCAGUCGGAAAGGAUAUACUUUUCUCUCCACUCGCUAUUGUCCCUCCCUCAUUUAAAUGCUUUGAUGAUCACCGUGCCACCAUAAAGGUGCCUGUCUCCAUAAGAUAUAUUUUUAACUUUCGGGCGAUGGACUUAAAGGUUGCUUCGUAGUGCAUGUAUUACAUAGCACUAGAGCUGAACAUGGCUGAAAAAGAGUCAACAGACAGGUUAAACCACGAGAAACCAACAUGAUUAACAUGACUGUAGUCAAAAGCAAUUAUUCACAAACAUUGUAAAGCAUGACCUUUAUAACUUACGAGCUUCUAAAUAGUAAAACUAGAAAGCAGUGACUAGAAGUAAACACAAAAUGUAGAGCUGGAUCUACAGUGUUCUAAAGAUGCUGAUACAAAAUACUACGUGGGUCCUAUCAAUGAAUUGAUUGCGUGGUUUACCACGGCUUGAUGUCAAAGACACAGAAACAUCAUUUAAAUGCACAACCAAGGACCACUCUGUUAACAAAAAAAAAAAANAAGGACCACUCUGAAAAAAAAAAAAAAAAAAAAAAAAAAAGUUUUUAGAAGGUUAGAGGAAGAUAGAAUAUCUCAGAUCAGAAGCAACCAAAGGGCCAAUAUCAAUAUGCCAUGAGAACCCGGAAAGAUAAAUCUUGCACGCUGGGUGAUUACUAAUAGUAUGGUUUGAGAAUGAAGAAUAUUGGCAUAAACAAUAAUAUGCUUCCAGUAGGUGACUGAUCUUAAAAUGAAAGAUGAGAUAUGUUCAAGAUGAAUAAAAGCCCUGAACUAUAAUACAGUAAAAUAUCAUGAAACAAACUAAAUGAUUACUACAGUCAUAUUAUUCAGUUGCUGAGAUCAAAAGGAUGGCCUCCCUUUGUUGGUACCCCAAAUCAAUUGGUCCUAUUUCUUCAGUCUGAGCCACAGUAGGUCGGAAAAUAUUAAGCCCAACUUUGGUUGAAACUUGAGAGCAAGAAAACAAGACUUUUUUGUGAGGCCCAAUCGGGCUGCAUUUCAAUUACUAACAACAUGCCAGCCCAAGCUCAGUCCUCUUCACUUCAGGCUGUACUACUCAGCCAAAGGCCUACAGAUGGAGUACUUGUACUGAUGCUUUUUCACAGCAAGCAACUCAUACUACCUUGCCAUCUUCAUCUGUCACCAUCUGAUACAGUUUUCUUCCUAGUUUCAUCCUCACAUGUUCAUGCUCAGAGUCUUCUACUACAUUUAAGAAUUUAUAGUACAGAGCAAUUCAUUGUACCCAACUCAUCAAUAUAAUCCGUUGUUUGCUUGGAGUAGUUCAUAGUCCUUGUUGCAUCCUCAAACAUCUUAGCUGCUCAGCAGACAUAUUUUAUAUGAAUCAGCAAACACGAGAUGAUUGUUACAUUGAUUGGCGGUGUUCAGCCUAAACUAAUUUCAUUACAUAUAUACCAAGGUGGCAAGGCACUAAAAUAAAACCAAUAUUUCGGACAAACCAGAACAAAUUCCAACGCAUUUUCGCGGACAACUCUUUUCAAGGCUUUAAGUUUGACUCGCUCAUAUGAAGCUAGAACUCUAGAUGCAUUCAAAGGCUAUCAGAACUUUUUAAGUUUGGUUGCUCCGCACACUGUGAUUGGACUAGGUAGAACAACUUUUGAGUUCUCAAAGCCCUCGACCUAUGACAACAUAAGACAAUAAUACAAACUCCUAUUUCAAGGAGAGGUUAUGAUGUCGGAUACCUUACAUUAGAGUUACAAACGGAUUCAUUCAUAUAGAACUAAUCAUUUCAGCUUGCCUCCGAGAUAAAUUCUGAGCAAGGUAUAAUUGCACAUGAGUCUCACUCUGCUGCAUAUCAUCUUACUACACAAGUGAAAUAGACCCAAGAGAAAUCGACCCAAAUAGACCUCCUUUUUGAAAUAUUUCAAGCUCAUACAGGUAAAAAUAAUUUAGAAUUGUACACAUUCAUAACAAGUCAAAAUUGAAACUAGGUAAGCAAGUACAUAAUUGAAACUAGGUGGCACGCAUGUUCAACUAUGGUAAAGGAAGAACCAAAGCACAAGAAAACACUAUGAUUUUUUAACUUUGAGAGAUACCAUUAAUUGGAAUGACAAAGUAACAAAUCUAAACAAAAAUAAAACUGUUACAGCCUGUAACGAGCAUCUUAUGCAUGUUAGUGAUGCAAAGAUGCAUUCUUCUUUCAAUAGAUCACAUGAAACACUGUGUGAAUGAAGAUAUAAACUCAAUACAAUGAACCGAUCUCACCUAUCCAUUUUCAUACAUUAAAUCCCUUCCACUUACUGAAGCUACCGAGCUCCCCACCCUCCGAAACCGCCAUCCCAAUGCCGGUUCUCCCACUCCUACUACUACCACCAUAAUAAAGCCUCCACUCAUCCCCCCCUUCCACUCGGAUCAAGCACGGAUCUCCGAUCCCUUGAUUAUCCCAUCCAUUAUCUUCCGUUGAAGCACUUAGUAUCGGCCCAUCACCACAUCUCCUCCAAUUCUUCAAUCCAUCGACACUCUCCGCCAACCCGAUACUCGUUCGGCCAUUUCCACAAACACCUUCAUACACCAUAACAUACUUCCCAUCCUUCUGGUCCCUCACAACAUGCCCGCACCGCACGCCACCCUCGUCGAAACACCCGGCGGCUCCGCCGUCGAGCACUUUCCCCAAUUUCACCCACCGAAUCCCGUCCCUCGACCUGGCGAUCCCGAUCGCAUACCGCCCGCAAUUCACAUCGAACGAAUGGUAGUACAUCCGCAAAUCGCCUCCCCCGUGGUAUACCACCUUCGGGGAGGAGACGAACAACGAGUCCCACUCUCUGGGAGCCCCGACGUCGAUAAGCGCACCGCUGUGGUGCUCGCCUUCUAUCCGCGCCCAAUGGCGACCGUCCUGGCUCACGGCGAGCCCCGGGAGCGACUUGGAAACGCCGUUCUCCGAAGGAGCCGCGUUCGGGAACGCGACCUUCUCGGGGCCGAACCCGGUGUAGUAGAGCCAGUACACGGCGCCGGGGGUUCGGAGCUUCGCACUGGACAUGAUGAGCACAUCGGACGGUCGAACGCGCUCGGUGUCGAACGCCCACCAAUCGGUGCUCGGGCCCAUCACGCGGCCCACGUCGUCGCCGCUCGCGACGUCGCCGGAGCCGCGUUCCCAGUGGACGCCGUUGUUGGAAACCGCGAUUCCGACCGCGUCGGCGCCGCCGCGCGGGCCGAGGCCGUGGUACCACAUCAGCCACCGCUCGCUGGCGUCGGUGAGGUAGCGCUCGACCACCGGGGAGCCGACCACGUGGCAGUCCCAGGAGGCGCGGGCGGUGGGGCCCGCGUCGAACACCAGGCCAUCGGAGGGCGGGGACGAGAUGGACGGCGGGGAUUUCGGAUCGGCGGCGCGCGAGCGGUGGACGCGGCGAGCGGGGGACCGUAGGAUUGAGGAGGAGGGGGUGCGUCGUGGGACGGUUUUGAGCGGAAGGGUUGUUGUGGUUUUGAUGCGAGUGUUUGUGUUUGUGGUCGAGGGGCGGUAUGCGGCCACCGCAGCUGCUGCGGCUUCCAUGUUUUUGGCGUGCGGAGGGAACGGUGGGAUAAAGCGCUUCGCAACGAAGCGGAUAACAUUGUCAUUAUUGAUAGACCACUACCAGUAAGGUUUAGGAGGUCAACUUUGGACAAGGACGUGUUGUUAAUGAGAGAUCAAUCUGCUUAAAUUAAUCACUGGAUUGACUAAUGGCUAUGUCUCCUGGAGAAAUUCGACAAGUGCUUUAAUCUCAGGAUUGCGUGUGGUGUUUGAAAGUAAAGCACACUAUCUGCUUAAUUCUGCUAGAUCUUAUAUCAAAUUCUUUUUUCUUCUUCUACUGUAAAAAUGAUUAAAUCAACACCAAAUAAGCUCUAAUUCAUGUCAAGGAAAUUGGACAAACAAAUUAUGCAAAAGUCAUUGGGAAAUAUUUACGAAACAAAUUCCACUAAUUAACAGUAAUUAAAAAAUAUAAAGAAAUCACCGGUUGGGCCGAAGAUAAUUUUGUCCGAGCUCAGCCUAAAUAAUACGGCCCACACAUGAGCCUCCACCAAGUUUCGGCCCAUUAAAUACCGCCGCACAAAAUUAUGUGUAGACUAAAAAUCCUGGAAACGGGCGAAGAGAGAAGGAACGAAGUCGAAGCCAAAAGUCACCCAACCCAUCUCCUCCUACUCUCCAAUUCUCAACCCCUUCGAUCUCCACUCGUUUACUAAGGUACUCUUCGCUUUCUUUCUUUUUUUAUUUCAUUUAAUUUUAAGGCUUAGAUUCCUUGUAAUCUCGUGUGCUAGGGUUUCAUUUGAAUCCCAAAAUUCAUACUGCUCACUUUUUACUCUGAUCGAAAGCUUGAAUCCUAUAUAAGAACCCUAGAUCAACCCAUUGGUAUGAUUCACAACGAUUUGUUUGUUGGAUUUAUGAGAAUGAUCAUGCUUACAGGAGUAAAAUUUGCUUCUUCAGGAAGCUUCUAGAAGGAGAUGGGGAAAGACUCGACGGCGAAGGAGCCAUCAGGAAAGGGCAAGGGGAAGCAGGCUGCCGCCGGGGGCGAAGAGAAUGCUUCGAAGGGUAAAGGGAAGGGCGGCAAGGCGGCCGAUGGUCUCGGCACCUGCACUUAUGUCAAAGGUUUUAUUUUUCCUUUUAUUUCUAGGCUAUCUAAUUUUGUCCAUUGUAACUAUCUACAGGAUUAAGAUUUAAUUGUUCAUAAUUGAGGAUUAGUUGCAGAAGCAGGGAGGUUGUGAUUUAGUUACUCUUUGCCUGAGUUGUAGUAUUUGGAACUCAUCGGAAUUGUUUGCAUGAUAUUCUAAUUUUGGUCAUAAGACCCAUUUAAUUUGUACUGUUGCAAUGGUCGUGGAGAACAUGUCGCGCAACCUCUUUCCUUUCUCUUUCUCUGUUUCUCUCUACACAUGCAUGACACACACACAUAUGCAUAGAGACAUCUAAGAAUGGGAAAAUAAAGAUAUAUAACUUCUUUGUGCACAUUUGUUGACAAGUUUAUUCUUGAUGUGAUUCUGCCUGAGACUGAGGAAGAUAAAAAAAUUGACUUUUUUCCUAUGUGGACUCUGUUGAGAAGUUUAUCAAAGCUAAUAAGUUUUCUUCAAGUAAUUUCUGAAUCAAAUGCAUACCAUACUCACUUUUUUCUGAAACACAAAUCCUUGCUGUUCAUUUCCGGAUCAAAUGCAUACCCUUUACCAAGUUUCGGAGUUUGGAACAUUUUUAGCUCUUGCAAAGACUUCUUGUCUUUUGACAAAGCGCAAAAGGCACUGAUAGUCCUAUCUGUUAAAGGAAGUUACUUUGCAAUAUGGUUUUUCUGCAUAUAACUUUUUUUUGAAUAGUAAAUCAUAACAGCAGCUGUUUUAACUUGUUAAAGAUGCAACUUAAUUUCACACUUAGAUGUCAUAAAAACAUGACACAACUUGAAUUAUUACUCCCUUUGUCAUGAUUGAAAAUUCGUUGGAUCCUAGAUACUUCAAGAAUAGGUGGCCUAAUAGACAAAACUUUAGCAAUAUUCGAACUAUAUUUCCUUUUACUGAUAUUUUACUUAUUUCCGUAUGAUGGUUACAAUGAUUGUCCUGUAUGACGUGGUUUUUACCGCUCCAUAUAAUUAAUCCUUAAUUAUUUUCUUUUCCAGCUAGGCAUAUUUUAUGUGAAAAGCAAGGGAAGAUUAAUGAGGCCUACAAGAAGCUGCAAGAUGGUUGGCUAAACAACGGAGACAAAGUUCCUCCUGCUGAGUUUGCCAAAGUAAGCCAGAUGACUAACUAAUUGGGAAUCCAGAAAUACUCAGGAAACUAAGUACUGUUGGCUUGCGAAGCAUUGAGGCCGCCCUCGCCUAAUAUAUCUGAAAUGCUGUCAUAUAUAUAUUUUUUAAAGCUUAAUAUUAUUUAUGGUUAACAAAUAGGCUGAAUAGCUAAUAUUCUUAACAUCCUUGAAAAGAACGAAAAGGUUGCUUCUUGUAUUGAUGUAACUUUAUAAUUUAUUUGGUUGUGGCGAUAUCAGAUAGCAGCAGAAUAUUCAGAAUGCCCAUCAGGAAAGAAAGGGGGUGAUCUUGGGUGGUUUCCCAGAGGGAAAAUGGCUGGCCCUUUUCAGGAUGUUGCUUUUAGCACAGCUGUGGGAGCUACCAGUGCUCCGUUCAAGUCUACGUAUGCCCCGUUCAUGUCCUUUUCUCACAAUUCAUUACCAAGCUCAUGUUCCUCUUAUAUAUUUCUGUGAGGAUGUACUCGUUAGAAAAUUAAUGCAAAAACAAUACCAGUAUUCUCGAACUUUGCGGUUGACCGAAUGCUGUGUUUGUUUUUGAAAAUGCCCCUUGUUUUUCUUUUCUACUACGCUAAUCAUAUUUACGGGUUUCAUGCAGGCAUGGCUACCAUAUUAUCCUAAGCGAGGGGCGGAAAAACUGAUUUCUGUUUCGCCUUCCUAAACUCUGUGGACAAUGUGGUGACCUGUCAAGGAAGCACAGGAAUCUAGUAAAAUUCGAAGGACAAGCCUUUGUUCUUUAAGAUCUAAUAAGCAGAGGAAUCUUUGGUGUAACCUUCUAAGGGGAUUUGAACUUGUCUAAGUAUUAUUUGGCGUGGUUUUGCUGUAAAGUGUGUUUGGUGCAAGUAACUUCAUGUAUGUUUGCAUCCUUGCUAUGUAAUUUGAAGGAAUCGAGACUUGUGGCAUUUCAAUCAGAGUUUUUCAUUUGAUAAAAUCUCCUUGCGAUGGGCCACUAAAAAAAGAAAAAAAAAAAAGGAAAAAAGGAAAAAAAAAGAGAGGAACUUUUUAAGCCGUGCAGGAAUGUUGGUUGCAUGCGCUUCAUGCGAGAGUUUCGUUUAAGGGUGAUAACAAAAUUAUGCAUGGAUCUUCCUACUGUAAGAUUUUACGGUUGAUUUAUUAAAUCUUUUUUUUGUUGAAUUUUUCAAAAAAUUAGAAGAAUGACGUAAAACCAUUCACACAAUAUCGCACUUUUUGAAAUUCUCUUGUGAUCUGAAAUUACGCUACUGUAGAGAUAUUGGAACAUUCUUUAGCCCUUUUGAAAAAGAAAAGUUUUCUAGUACCAAAAAAAAAAAAAAGGAGAGCGUGGUGAUGCUAUCCGUUAUCCAUGUAACCAACGGUCAUGCUUUAAAAAUCCAUCGCUCCUCCCGCACUCACUUCCCAGCGGGAGUAGCAACCAUGGCUCUGCAUCAUCUUCUUCUUACUCCUCCUCAUCCUUUCUCCUUCUCUCCCCCUCUUCUUCCCCUCCUCACCCCUUUUUCCAGCUCUACCCAUCGCUCCAUCUCUCUCCUCACCACCACAAACCCUAGACCAAAACUCUACUCCACCGCACUCCGCCCCACCCACGCCCUCCUCCAAACCCUAGAUUCCGGCUCCGUCCCCUCCGAAUCCGCGCUCGGUGACUUUUCCCAGUGGCUUCGCAAGAACGGCGCGGUGGGCUCCUCUCCACCUCCCGUGAAGCCGAGCUUCGUCCCCGAGGGCUUGGGCCUUGUCGCCCAGAGAGAUCUCCCCAGGAACGAGGUGGUGGUGGAGGUCCCCAAGAAGCUCUGGAUCGACGCCGACACUGUCGCCGCCUCCGCCAUCGGGCGCGUCUGUGGCGGCCUCAAGCCCUGGGUCGCAAUCUCGCUCUUCCUCCUCAGGGAGAAGGCGAUGGGCGAUGCGUCGCCGUGGCGUCCCUACCUCGACAUCCUUCCGCGCCAAACCGAUUCCACCAUCUUCUGGUGAGAUAUGCCCUUCAACUGUUCCAUUCCUCUGUUUAAUUGUUCGGUUUCAUGCUGAUCUCAAGUGUCAUUUGCUACUUCCAGUGCAGGUCGGAAGAGGAGCUUCUGGAGAUACAAGGUAAGAUAAAAUCUCUGAUUUUAUAUAUAUCUUACGAAGAAGGAAAUAUCUGGGUGAUUGUUUUGCUAUUUGGAUGGAUUAUUUUGGCUAAGUAGUUAGCUACACAAAUCGAGUAUUGCUAUUUGGAUGGAUUAUUUUGGCUAAGUAGUUAGCUACACAAAUCGAGUAUAAAAAUUUAUCACCUGGUAAGGUAUACUGUAUACACCUACUAAAAUACAGCAAAGGAGUAGGACGUAGAACCCUUCUUAGUGUCAUGUACUGCUCUGUACACUAGAUAAUUGAAUUCCUUACCCUCCAAUGUGCCACACAAAAAUAUCGCUUCUUAAAAAUGAAGAGAAGGAAGCAAAGUAUUGGAGUGCAAAAGGAUAGCUGAGUAGCUAAGUUUGUUUAUAGUUGGCUGUGUAUCACUUGGAGAUUGUUUAUGAUGGGCUCUUUUACUUCAAGCGACUAAAAUGGAUUAAGUUAUGAAAUUAAUUACGAAAUUAUUACUUUAUUGUCAUCAUUAUGCACUUACCUAGUUACGAUUUGUUAAUAAGUGUUGCCUUAGUACAGUAAGUUUCUUUCAGUUGGUUGUUUUGGAAAUAGUGUCGAACCAUAUCAGGAUUCCCAUUUUUGGCCAGAAUAAUGGAAUUUAUACAGUAAUCAUGUACACAAGUAGGAGUCUUUGUUACCUUACCAAGUUAAUAAAAGAAAUUAUAGUUUGCAGCUCAUACGUCUCCUGGUUUAUUUGGUACAGUCAUUUCACGUGUUCGAUCCACUUAAAUUAUUUUCCACCUUGUUUUUCUGACUUUUUUGUUGUAGCUAAGUGAUGCUCUUUUCCAUCAACAAACAUGCCGACAUCUCUAAAAUAUAUCCUUUGCAGGAACUCAAUUAUUAAGCACAACAAUCGGCGUAAAAGAGUAUGUGAAAAGUGAAUUUGAUCAGGUUGAAGAUGCCAUUAUAGUUCGAUACAAGGAUCUUUUCCCUUCGACUAUAACAUUCCUUGAUUUCCUGUGGGCAUUCGGAAUACUCAGAUCAAGAGCAUUUCCACGUCUCCGUGGGGAAAAUCUUGCUCUGAUACCGUUGGCUGACCUGGUAAUAUCAGUUCUAAUUAUUUCUUGCGCAUUAUUAUGAAUUGCUACUAUUAUAUUUAAAACUCCAUGUAUGUGGAAAUAAUCUGAAUAGGAUUGAUAUGUGGCGUGCAAAGACCAUGUUUUCCAUCAGUGGCGUGCAAAGACUAUGUUUUCCAUCAGAAUACCAUCCUCUGAGAAUAUAACACAAAGUUUUAUCUGUUGCUAGAUGUUUAACAGUUUAAAACAAGUUUAUUUAUUGUUCUAUUGGAGAGAAUAUACUCCUAAAAUUCAAGAUCUUCCCAAAGUCUCUGCAAUCAUGUGUUAAAUUCUCACAUUUAUGCUACUGGGUUAAGAUUCUUGUUUGCAGAAAUGAACAACUUUAUUAUUGCAUUCUAGUUCAGGCUGAGUGAUGCUUUAAUUGCACAACUUAUGCUCAAUAUUUUCACAAUUUAUUGUAUCAUGGAAUCACAUGAUAUAUUUGCAUUUUUAACUCAUGCCUGCUUGACUGAAGAACAGGCGACGACAAAUUUUGUGAAAUUGAUCAGUACUAAAUGAAGAAUAAUCUAAUUGUGACUCUUCCAGUAUAACCAAAUAAUUUGUAUCUAACUGUCAAACUUCUGCUUUGAAUCAGAUUAACCACAGUGAUGCCAUUACUUCAGGAGACCCUUCUUGGGAGAUUAAAGGAAAGGGUCUUUUUUCAAGAGAGCUUAUAUUCUCUUUGAGGACUCCAGUCCCUGUAAAAUCCGGUGAACAGGUAAAUUCUUUAGACCCAAACUCAAUUUUAUGUGAAAACAUGUGCGAUAAUCGAAGUGGUGCAGGUAUACAUUCAGUUUGAUCUAUCAAAGAGCAAUGCCGAACUGGCCCUUGAUUAUGGCUUCAUCGAAUCGAGGUCGGAUCGUCAGGCAUAUACUUUGACUCUGGAGAUCUCUGAAUCAGACCCAUUUUACGGAGACAAGCUGGACAUUGCGGAGUCGAAUGGUCUAGGGGAGACUGCAUACUUUGAUAUUGUCCUGGGUGGCUCUCUUCCUCCUCAGAUGCUUCCUUAUUUGAGAUUGGUUGCUCUUGGAGGAACAGAUGCAUUCCUCUUAGAAUCCAUUUUCAGAAAUUCUGUUUGGGGUCACCUUGAAUUACCUGUGAGCCGCGCCAAUGAGGAAACCAUAUGCCGUGUUGUUAGAUAUGCCUGUAAAUCUGCCCUCUCUAGCUAUAGGACAACCAUACAGGAGGUACAGUUUUAUCUCUAGCUUAAAGAAAUUAAACAAAUCAAAGAGAGUUUAAUAAUUAUUACUGAACCUAAAGCAAUCCAUGAGCCCACUUUCGAUUCUUGUGCUUACGAAACUGAUUCGGUGUAGUUUGCCUUCUUUCUAAUUCCUUAUCUUGCAAUAUGCAGGAUGAAGAACUUAUUAAUGGCGGAAAUCUGGAUCGGAGACUUAGAAUUGCUGUUGGUGUAAGAGCAGGCGAAAAGAAAGUACUUAACCAAAUCGAAGAUAUUUUCCGAGAGAGGGAAUUGGAGUUAGACGGUUUGGAAUACUACCAAGAAAGGAGGCUCAAAGACCUUGGUCUAACCGGCGAACAAGGAGAAAUUAUCUUCUGGGAAUCACGAUAGAGAUGAUGUUUGUAAUAAUAUAUACAUAUCCCUUCGGUGAUGUACUUAUAUUUACGUGCAAGCGCAUGAAAAUUUUCCCACACCAGUUUGGUGUUGCAUUAAGUACAAAGGAAGUGCACUGUGGACUAGUAGGAGAGAACAUUGAUGAGAGCUUUGUAGGAACAAUGCCCCUCCCCCCUCUUCCUCCUUUUCAUCUUUGUAAACCGUACUCUAGAUCACUACAGCAGCACCUCUUUUUGAUGCUUCAGAGAUGCAAAUCCAUGAGACAGCUCACGCAGCUUCAUGCCCAGCUGCUGCUCAACGGCUUCUCCCAGAAGUGCUUCCUCCUCACCAAACUCCUCUCCUUCUGUAUCGCCUCCGGCGACGUCUCUCAUGCCGCCACUGCGUUCUCCCUUGUCGACCAUCCGAGCACCACCCUUUCCAACCAGAUGCUCCGAGCCCUCUCUCUUAGCCCUACGCCUCUCAAUUGCCUCCUUUUCUACAACCAAAUGCUACAGAGGCGAGAAACGUUCAAGCCCAAUGGCUUCACCUACGCUUUCCUAUUCUCCGCGUGCGCUAGAGCAAACUCGUCCCUUUUGUGCCAAGGUGAGCAACUACAUGCUCGGAUUGUUUCUGCCGGAUUCGGCUCAAACGUCUACGUCCAGACCAAUCUCAUCAACAUGUAUGCAACUGCCACCGCUGCCGCCGGCGGCACGAGAGAAGAGGCGAUCGCGCGCGCCCGCAAGGUGUUCGAUGAUAUGCCGCAGCGGAGCAUCGUCUCCUGGAACUCCAUGCUGGCUGUGUACUUGCAGUUGGGGGAGUUGCACACAGCUUCCGAAUUCUUCGGCGAGAUGCCUAAGAGGGAUGCCGUGUCGUGGACCGCCAUGAUCACUGGCUGGGCUCGUGCGGGAAAAGCCUCGCAAGCACUGGAGCUGUUCCGGGAGAUGCGCAGGGCCCGCGUGACCCCCGAUCAGGUAACCAUGAUUGCACUCCUGUCGGUGUGCACGGAACUGGGGGACUUGGAACUGGGCCGGUGGAUCCAUGCGCGCUUGGACCCUUUACAAGGAGGGCGAGACCGUCUCGUGUCGCUCAACAAUGCGCUAAUCCACAUGUACAUCAAAUGCGGCGCCGUCGACGAGGCUCUCCACAUCUUUCACGAGAUGCCAAUGAGAAGCACCAUCUCUUGGACGACCAUGAUUGCUGGUCUUGCAAUGCAUGGCAGCUCCGAGGACGCGUUGGGUCUCUUUCGCUCGAUGCGAGAGAAACCCGAUGCCAUGACGUUCCUCGCAGUACUCUGCACAUGCAGCCACUCGGGGAGGAUCGACGAAGGCCGCCAUUAUUUCAUGAGCAUGCGAAAGCAGCACGGAAUCAGACCAGACGUACGGCACUACGGCUGCAUGGUCGACAUGCUGACUCGUGCAGGCCGGCUGGGCGAGGCCCUGGAGUUGGUGGAGGCAAUGCCGAUGCGGCCGAGCGAUGCGGUGUGGGGAUCGCUGCUCGGCGGGUGCAGAAGGCAUGGAGAGGUAGAGCUCGCCGGGCACGUGGUGGAGAGGUUGAUGGAGCUGAAGCCGGAGAGAGCUGCGGGGUACCUAGUGCUGCUAUCGAAUGUGUAUGCAGCAGUGAGCAGGUGGGAGGAAGCUCACAGGGUGAGGGAGAGGAUGGUAGAUUUGGCCGAGCACAAGCCUGCGGGGCGAAGUUGGAUGAAUCCAAAUGAGUGAAACACUGAAACCUGCACCGCAGCACCGGAAAGGAGCGAGGUGGUACUCUAUCCUCUACCAGAAGAUGCGUCUAGGGGCUAAAUGCAAGUAAUUAAGAUGAUGAUCUAUGACCUGCCACUGAUAGCGCUUGGUGGUGCGCCACCGUUCCACUGCAGAAACCAUCAGAAACUAAAGAUGAUAGAUAACAAGACCAUACGAAAACGAACAUGUUAGCCGCUAUUAGCACGUAGGGUGAAAAAGCUGGACUGGAGCCAAGGAAGACGCUCACAAGCUUUGUUUCUAUAUUAAAGAGUUCUACAAAUCUGAAAGCUUAACCUGAAAGGUAUAUCACCGUCUGUGAUCUGCGAUUCUUGUUCCUAUUCAAUGUAAAACUAAAAUUCUUAAACAAUCCACCGAUAACUUGUUUGAUAUAUUUAUAGAUAUUGAUAUAUAUUUUAUUGCGAAUCAUAAGUUUGAUUCUUAAGUCUUAACUACUGUGAUAUUAUAACAUAUCAUAAAGGUAUUAUGUAGACAUACAUUGUAUUAAUUAUAAAUUUACCAUUUGUGAUGAGUAAAUAAGAGAGAGAUGAUGAACAAAUAUUCAGCCGUCAUAAAAUUCCAAAACAUUACAAGCCAUAAUGGUAUUGUUUAAGUGAAUUUAUUCAACACACACAACAACAUAAGAACUAGGAAAGGUCUCAAUCCAAACAACACUCGAAGAAUGUGAACUACAAACAAAUGUGCAACACGGCACCGCAAACUUUACUAAGCCAUUAGUGUUGUUGGGGGGAAUCAAACCACACCAAGAGGGGGAAAUUUCACUGUAAAUGGUUCACUCAUCAUUGUAAUUGCGACGGUGAUGGUAUUUGUGGUGGCCGCAUCUCUGUUCCUCUUCAGUUUCAUCUCCCUAUUAAUAAUUCCCAAAACGGGAUAAUCAUCAAUCCGAUUCAAUUUUUUCAAAAAGAUUCGGUUAUAAUAUCUUAUCGUUCGAAUUCUACUCUGAUCUAGUAGACAUCCUUAACCAAUAAAAAGGAGUAUUAUUCAUUCCUAUUCUACGUAGAAAUAUCUAAAAUCAACUAAAGAAACACAUAAUAAUGAGCUAAAGCAUUUGAAAAUACAAACACAAAUCAAACUACUUUAAUUUGAGCACAAAAAAACAUCAAGUACUACUCACAUAUAUAUUUAGGGCGGUUAUAAUUGUACACUUCCCCUUGGCCCUGCACGUAGUAGCUGGGCUUCGCAUGCGUACCACUCUCCUCCUCAUAGCUUGGCCUCUCAUAACUACUAGGUCUCUCUCCAUGUCCAUACUCUUCGCUCAUCCCAUAACCACCACCAUCACCACCACUGUUAUACGCACACUGCGGCUUCGGCCGAGGACGCCCGUAUCGGCGAUCACCGGAGUCAGUACUGUCGGCGUAGUAAGAAGAUGCGGCGGAGUCGGAGGAGUAUUGGGCUCUAUUGGAGUCGGCAGCAGAGGAAGAGGAGGUGGACUGGGAGGAUGAGAUGGGGUAGCAAAUGUCGUCGGACGGCGGGAGGGGCUGGCCGAAGGUGAGGCUUAUGUCAUAGCCGCCGCCGUAGGGCGUCGGGUCGUACUCGACGUAGUCGUUGACGUCGUCGACUGAUAGAUCGCCGCCGCCGCCUCCUCUCCACGCCAUCGCUGGCAGCUUCUCCCUCUCUAUCUGACUCUCCUUCUUUGAUGGUAGCUGUGCCGUUACGUCGCUAGCUGGUUUACGUGAGAGGAUGGUAGUGAUAGAGUUUAUAUAAAUCUGUGUGUUGGUUAAUAGGAUAAAUAUAAUGUUGUGUAUAUUUUUAAAUGUAUAUUAUGAAGAUUACAAGUACUUUGUCAAACAUCCAGAUGGGUGCGACUUCUUAUUUUUCUCAGCUUGCUGAUAUUCUGGUCAGCUCCUCUAGUAUCGAAAUUGCCCUCCUGAAAAUUCGGGCUAAAAGUUAUGAAUAUAUAUAUUCACGAAAAAAAAAGUGCCUAAUUAAUGUUAUAUAUGCGAUAGAAUAUUACAUGUUAGACUAGGUCUAGCCAGUAAUUUCAUUCUUAUAAACAGCAUAAACCAAAAACUUCGUGGGAAACGACGAUAUGACGAGAGAUAAGACUUUCCUAGGCCUUUCGACUGGUCAAGCGUAAUACUUUUCGGGACCUUUUCUAAUCGAGCAAAAGGUUUUUUUUUUUUUUUUUUAAGAAAUAGGUAGCACGCUAUCUGCUUUGUUUAUUUUAUUUAGAAAUAAACUUAGCGAAAAAUGUGAAUCAACUAGGAUUCGAACUUGGGUCUCAGAUACCAACCAUCAAGCCCUUUACCACUUACUCUAGAGACGGCCGGUUAUUUUUUAAUAAAAUAGUUACUGUUGAAAGAUGGAAUGUGUGGAUCUUUUUUUACAAAAGUACAUGUGCUUAGCAUGGUUUACCAAAUCAGUUUCUCCUCCCUUUCAUGUUGAAUUUGUUUCAUGUUGAUUGUUAACGUGUUUGGCAUUAAUUAUGAUUUAUCCUGCAAACAUUUAAGAGGAAUGAUUUUUUUUUUUUUUAUUUGACAAAGAGUUUUCUCGAUAAGAUAGUUAAUGUACAACAUGUUCUCAAUCUCGAGUUGCCUUAGCUUUUCUUACAGUGCAGUGAAAUACACCUCAUCGCAUAUGUUGAAAGUAAUAAGCCAAUAAGAUUGAGGCCAUGCAACACCAGAGUUGGAUCCACAACAGUAAGAUAUAAGACUACAGCAAUCACUUUAGGACUUUGUCGCAUCCUUCAAACUAUCCGAGAGAAUCCGACACAACUUCCACCAAGGAAACGUAGUGAACAAUAAACUAGUGCCUGUGUUAUCAUAUUUACAAAAGGAAGAAAAAAAAUUUGCAAAUCAAAUGUCGCAUUUAACCAAAGGCAAGUGUACCUCUUCUUACCAUAUCCUCUGCUCAAUCCAACCAGAGUUGUGAAUAUAGACAGAGAAGAUCAUGAUACAGUUGUUAAUAAGACAAGCAGUCCAUCGAUAUACCAAAUAUAUACAGAGUCGAUAUAUCUCGAAUCAAACAACAGCCGUAUUUUUUUUAAUGAACAAUGGCAUCUUUUACAUACACAACCCAUUUUGGGCGGACAACAACUUGACAAAAAACAAACAAGCAUAAGAAAUCGAGAAUUAAAUAACUGUUCAAAAAUACAGGAGAGUGAAAUCUUAUCUUCCCAGUCCACAACUAGUGGUCCAAGGGUUGUAGCUAAGCUCGACACCAAUAACUCAUUUCCCCUGAUUUGCUUUUCCAGAUAUCAUAUUUCUGCUUCACUUGCUCAUGUUUCUUGUACUCUUUCGUAUUCUUGUUUUAUGAAUUAAUUUAUCGCAAAUUGGUUCCAGCAAUCAGCAAUCCAUGGCAUAUACAAGAAAUCAACCCCAUUCUUGACCAAACCACCAUAUACAAAUAACCAACUGCUUUUAGAAUAUUCCUUCGGUAGUUACACAAGCUCAUUUUAUGUGCAAGAUGGGCACCCCUUCUAAUUGUUUUUUUAUAGAAUUUUCAACAUUCGAUCAUUUUCUCCUGCUAUGAAUUGCCUUUCUCUUGGCUACCCGCUGGCAACAAUCUCCGCCUUAACACUUGGGUGCUAGCUGCAGCUUUCAGCAGCGGCUUUAAGGCAGCCAUAAUCUCCGAAAAUGAUGGCCGUUUCUUUGGGUCUCUACAAUAUGUUCAAAAGAGAAGAAAAAGAAGAAAAUCAAAGAAUAAAUAAAGGAAUCAGUGAAAAAAAUAACACGGGACUGAGGGUGAGCAUAUUAGUGUUUGCUGAAUCCAACUUCCUCGCAAGUGUACACGAAGUAAAUGGCAGAGCAAUAUAUACCAAAUCACUGUGCUGUAAAAUGUCUACUGCAUGUCUACUGUUAAAGAGAAAAGGCGGCAACACAAGUGUUGAGGCCAAUCUAUCAAGAUCUGUACAAUCAAUCAACUGAUGAAAAUCUAAUUACUCCGGUAGCUUAGGUAAGAUGUAUGUAUAGCAGUUGGACAAUUAUUUAUGAAAAGGAGGAAGCUUAUGUGGCGAUGGAUCUGCCCAACUUAGAAAACAAGGUAAGAGGUUCAUUCUUUUCAUCAAAGAUCCGAGGGAACUUCAAUAGCAAACACAAUUAAGGACACAACAGGUAAAGAUAAUUUUGAAUCUCUUAGAGGAAACAGGUUUAUAUUUGUUGGGCAAUAUAUAAAGAAAUUUGAAAAUAAGAAGUAUACUAACGUUUGCCAGCACUUCUUUAUAAUGUCUGCUAUGACAGGAUCCAUGUCAUCUGGAAUGUCAAGGCGGCGAUGCUGAAAUCCAACAGCUCCAACAACUUGCAUGGGAUUCAUGCCUUCCCAUGGCUGCUGCAAUGUGCACAGCUCCCAUAGUAUGACACCGAAGCUAAAAACGUCACACCUGAAUAUGCAAACUAUGGAUUAGUGAAAUAAGAUACCAUGCAAAAAUUUAAACAAAAUAUGCUACUUAAAAAGCAAAACACACUUCUCAUCUGAAGGUUCAUUUCUGAGUACUUCUGGUGCCAUCCACUCAGCCUACAGCAUACAAAGAAGAACAUCAACAUGGACCAAGAUGAAAUGUAAAGGCAGUAUAACAAUAACUUAGGAAACCAGAGGAUGUAUCCUGGAAGUAAAUGGUUAAAAGCGUAAGAGCUAACAUAUAUCAAAUUUGUUCAAUAUGUUUUAAUGCGCUAAAAUUGUACAAAGCUAGUGCGCACUAAUGUGAUGUUGCAAAAUUAUUAGAUACUUCUUUAUCUUUAAAUGACACUUUAUGAUAAGUUUUGGAACAUCGCACAAACUGCAGCGACGCAUGGCAAAUGAAUGAUAGAUAUCAGGCCUCAGUAAUAUCAGGUACAAGUGAACCAAGUAUAGGAAAAUGAGUAACUGGGAAUAUAAGGACAACUGAAGGCAUUGGAAAAGGCAAAGUUUGAGUAAAUUCUUAAGCAAAUAUAUGUCAGAUAACAGAUAUAUCUAAACGAAGACUAAACAAAAUGCUUACUGUUCCAGCUGUUGAUCUUGAAGAAAGAAAUGUACUGUGCUUCAUUCGUGAUAAACCAAAGUCACAGACCUGAAUUGAUUUGAAGAGAAUAAGCAGUAAGUUUGUGCUAUGAGAAAACGGCAUGAUGCUAAUACUUAGAGGAUAUGACAUUUACUCUUAAAGUUAGAAUGGUACCUUUACAACCCAAUUCUUGUCGACAAGAAGGUUUGGAGAUUUGAGAUCACGAUGUACUAUAAUUGGUGUGCAAUUGUGCAAGUAAUUCAUUCCACGAGCCUGCAGACCAAAAUUAAUACGAUAGUACUAAAUAUGAUUGUUUUAUGGCAUCAUUGAGUGUGUCAGUACAUAACAAGAUGCAGAUGAAAGAAUCACUAAGAGUUAUGUAUCAUACAACAUCAAGUGCCAUCCUUAGUCGUCUCCUUUCAUCUAACUGGUUGUUAGGUCGAUGAAUCAAUCGGAACAAGCUCCCUCUGCAUUUUAUAGUACAUCCUUUAAGCACUUUUCAUAAAAAUCGACAUAUGCCAUAGUAGAAUAUUAAAUCUAUCUUAAUUAAAAGAAUGCAUAUCAUUAGAUCAUAAUCACUCAAAUUACCAAAGAAAUUUUGGUGAUGAGUGCCAUUAGGACAAAAUAUCAUUAGAUCAGUCAAAAAAUACUACUGCUGUAGAACGCAAAAUGGGAAAAACAGAAAGGAAAAACCUAGUCCAGAUACACUCUGGAAUUACAAAAAAAAACAGCAUUAAACUUCUUAAAAAAUGCACGCAGACCUUGAUGUUUCUUCCAGUAAAACUUAGAAACAAAUGGUUGACAAUGUAAAAGAAGACACAGUACUUUCAGUUAUAAGAUUGGUGUGACUACAUUAAUGAACUGUUAGCAAGAUUGACUGCAUAAACAAAUCAAAGAAAACAUACCUAGGAAGAAACUCUGUUACAAUGGCAAGAUUGGGCACACGGGUUACAGCACCCAUGAGGAGGACAACAUUUGGGUGUCGUAAUCUUCUCAUUAUCCGCACCUUAAGAGCAAAUAAAUAAAAAUUGAAGGCCAGGAACCAACUUUUCCAUAAAUAAUUAAUACUAUUAAAGUUUGUGCAGAACUAAACUAACAGGUCAGCACAUUGAGUGAAGUAUGACUACAGUCUAACCAGUAACCAAGUAUAACUUUUAUUGAAAAGGCAGCUGUCGCAGGUAAGGUAAUAUUAUCUUUGUUUGAACACAAAUGUAAUUGUUGAUACAGCAUGAUAUAUACCUCACUUCUAAAUUCUUCCAAAGCAUCACCCGAGAUAUCUUGGUGUAAGAACUUCUUAACUGCAACUUCCUACAAGGAGAAAAGAGCAUAUGCUAAGAAAGAACAAUCAACAAAACAACGGAGAAAAGUCAAUUAAUGGGUAGAGCUUCCGCCAAAGGUAAGAGUUAUAUGGCCGAAGGAGAGAACAGCUCCUAGUAAGUUUAAGAUCAGCUAAAGAGAAAAAAAAGGAGAUAGAAGAAAGGAAAUACACUAUCUUGAAUUUAGAGCAUAGACACAAUAUACAAGGCAGGUUACAGCAAUAAAAUAGGGGAACAUUGAAACUUGGUUGAAAAAUGGUUUUACAAUCAACAUAGACUUGGAUCUUCAUAUUUAAGCUGCUGACAAAAUGGUCGAAUGACCAGAAAUAAAGCAACAAAGGAGAUAUAAUAUUAUAAUGAGACAAUGGCCUUUCUUUAUCUGACAACAAAUGUAUCACAUUAACCCUAGGAAGAAUCACUUGAAAAUAUUAGAUGUUAUUCUCUGAACGCUCCAAAUAUAUUAUAAUUGACAUCAGUUUUCACAUCUAGAAGUUGUAAAAAACUCUUUGCCAUUAGAAGCAUAAGUAAAUUACUUGAACGAAUGAAAGGACUUACUGUUCCAUGCAACUCUCCCUUGUACACCUCUCCAAAGGAGCCUAGUAAGACAAGAAAUGUCACUCAUGAGAAAUAAGUGACUGUAAUAAACAAAAUAUUGUUCCUAAUAACAAAAUUUUGGCUUAAAUACUAUUUAUAUCACAUAAGAAUAUGAAGCACUAAAAGAUUUAGUAAAUGCAACUUCAUAAAAACCAUACCUAGACCUAUCCGUUCACCCAAAGUGAGGUCCUCCCAUUGUAUCUCAAGUUCCGCAACAUCAUCUAGAGCAAUAUCAGAUUUCGUGCUGUCAGUCCCAGUUGACUUUCCUGAAUUUCGUUCUGCUUCUUGCUGGUGAGUUUCACCCGUGCCUUUUUCUUGCUCAGGACCAUCAUGAUCAUUUUCUAUAUGCCGAUUAUCCCAAACAUCAUAUCCAGCUCCCUCAGUUGAAUCUGCUCCUUGACCAAAUGCAGGUAAAAAUGGUACAGGGACACGAGACUCCAAGUUCUCAUAUUGCCUACUAACAGCAGCAGUUGUCGCAACAACGGCAGCAGCAGUAACAGUAGCUGCAGCAGCAACAGGGACUUCAAUAUUCAUUUCUGCGCUCGAUUUAACUGCAGCAACAACCAUCGAAGAGGCAACAACAGCAGCUGUAGCAGCAGCAGCAGCAACAGGCAUGUGCUUUAUAAGCUGUAAUGGAGUCUCCUGCGAAAGCACAUCAGAAGCUUCGGAGGUAGAUGAAGUGCCAGCUGCUUCUCGGAAGUCAAGAGGGCGAUGAAGCCCCAAACCUUCUACAGGCUUCAACGGGCGGAUUCGGUUCGUGAUCUCGUCCUCUUUUUCACCCUUAUAUCCACUUUGAGACUUGUCUUCGGUCAUCAAAUCUUCCGAAUAUCCCGUAUACAAUUCCGAAAAUAAGUUAGGGGGUGCAAUAACUCCACUUUCGAGCAAUACAUCUUGAAGUUUUUGGGCUAAUUGUGGGUUUUCUUUAGCAGCGUCAAUCAUGUACUGUGAAACAUCCUGCACUUUCAUUUUGUUGACAGCUGAAGAAGAAUUGAUUCCAGCAAUCCUAGAAGGCGAUUUUGCAACAGUAAUACCAGACUUUUCUUGAGCUUUCACAGUUUUACUGAUGUUAGUAUCUCUAGAUUUGCCAAUGGGAUGUGCUUUUUCUUUCAUAUGCAGGUUGGUUGAAAAGUUCUUGAGCGAACUUAGUUUCUCACUUUCUUUAUUGCUGAACUCCAAUGUAUGAAUUCCACUAGUAUCUGAAGCUUCAGGAUAGCUAGACAAUGAUCGUUUAUCAAGCGGCUCACUAUCUAAAGAGCAACCAGCAGAACUUGAGACCCCGCUUACAGAAGAACCCAUAUGAACACUAUCAGCACCUUUGCUGAAAGGGCUAACUACAAAGAUAUUUUCUUCGUAGUCUUUUACCAGCCCAGCACCAUCCGAUGGGAUAAGAGUACCAGGAUAGGCCAUUAAAUCAACGAUGUACUCUCUGCGAUGCAAGAAAUAAACUUGUAAUGUUUAUGUUGAUAAUCAAUCAUCCAAUUUCAUAGAAAAUGAAUCUAACAUUCUAAGUUGAAUAUCUAAGCUAGGGAAUGAGAAUGUUCCAACUAUGUGAAACAACGAAAAAUUGUAUGAAAUAAAGGACAUAAAUAAAUCAGAGAAAUAUUGAGAGGUCUUAGUUUCUGGCAGCCUUCUUUAUAUGCGUAGUUUGAUUGAGCAAUCAAAUUAUCAAGCUUACAAUCUAUAUAGUAUGUCCGAAACUACAAGUAAACCAACAAUUGGGCCAACUUUCCAUGCCCAAGUGGGCUGGAAAUUACUAAACCAUGGGAAUAAUAUGGUAACUGUUGGGCACCAUAAAUGCAUUACCUUCCAUCCUUUACUUUUACGAUGUUCAAAGCCCCAUCAUCUGAUCCAGUAUAUUGCUUUCCCUUUACUAAUCGACAUGGAAUGCCCACACUAUCAGCCAAAACCUACAUAGAUAUUUGAAAAAAAUAACCCAUUUUUACAUCUCAUAUAACAAUGAAAGAGAGGGCUUCAAAAACGCAGCCAGGAGUAAUGUGCUGUAGUAUUAUUUUGACCCCAAAAAAAAAGUAUCAUGUGAUCCAUAAUAUCACACACGUUUCUUUGAACGAUGAAUGAUUUUUCAAGUUUUAGAACAACAUAUCGGUACAAAAGCAUGGGAGUCACCUGCCUAGUUUAAUCCACAACAAAUAAUUUUUUUAAUCAGGUUCUAUUUUUAAAAGCAAGCUGAAUCCAUUCAUAUUCAGGUCAGACCGAGUUAUGUUCUGAAACUUACUUGCAGAACAGGUUUGUUGUUUAUAUUGCCUGGGAUUGCUGAUAAGGAAAGGAGAAAAAAAUGCAAGAAUAAUUAUGAAGGAUCAAGUAUCUGUGACGUGUAAAUAUUACACAACUAGAACAGUAACACACUAAGGCAGUAUUAAAAUGCACAGCACAACUAUGUGUCACCCAUCACCAAAAAAAAAAAAAAAAAAAAAAAAAAACUGCAAACGGAACUAAAUUGUCUACAAAACUAACGUAAUAUUGCACAAAUAGAACAGUAAUGAUAACAACACCAAGGCAGUACUAAAAUACACAGCACAACUAUGUGUCACCCAUCACUAGCAAAACUGCAGAAGGAACUAAAUUUGUCUACAAAAUUAAUGUAUUUGGGAAAGGACUGUCAGGAUUUGAUCAAGUGAGAUUUGAAGUUUCAUAAUACAAAGCGGACCCAACAUAUUAACCGAUGCUAGCCAUUUUGAAAUGAUUUUCAGUUCGAUAUGGCAUAGUUUCUUUGGACUGGCUGUGAAUUAGAAUAACGGUAGACCAAUACUCGUGCGACCUUUUAUCUCGUAUACAGUAAGGGUAAACAAAAGAGCAUCUAAUAAGGAGGAAGAAAUCCUGACCUUGAAUAACAAUGCACGAUGACGAGCCAAACCAAUUGUUAAACGGCCAAGAGGCAAGACCAAAUUACCGACACUUUCUCGUAAAUAGCUACUGAGUUUUUGAUAUGACAUCAGCAUGCUUUCAGGAUCGUAAACUAUUCCACCCAUGUAGUUAGCUACCAAAUUAGCAAGCCUCUGCACCAAAGCACCCUCAACAAAGUCUGAAGACUGUGACCUUGCUUCACGGGCCAUGAUUAAGGCCUUCUUCUCAAGUUUUAAGAGGUCACCAUCUUCUGUUCUAUUAACCAACACAGCCUCCCAACUCACAUUAUCUGAAAAUGGUGCUCCUUGGAGAUCAAUAAGAGAAGGCAUCUUAGCAGAGUUAGGCUCAACCAUUAUGCCGUAGAGGUAAUAGAAACCAUCCAAGAUCUUAUCAUCAAAGUUCAAGGAGUUGUAAUUCUGUGGAGAACGAAGAAAUCUACAAUAUGAGACAAAUCAGAAAAAGAUAGUCAUAGAAAUAUGAAUGAGUAGAAUAUCUUGGUUAUCAUAAACUUAAAAGCACACAGGAAACAUGCCAUCUUAGAAAUAGCUGCCUGGCUGAAAAUCAUGAUAGUCAUGACAAGACAAAUCCUGAUCAACAGAAGAAGCGCUCUGCUAAAUCAGUUAUCAGAGAAAACUCAUUUCCAGACAAAAAGGGCAUCAUUUACAAACUGUUGCGUAGAGUAAUGAAUAAUGAUGAUGAGUAGACAAAUGUUUCUCACUUCAAACUCAAAUACUAUGAGUAGAAAAACAAGUGUCCUUUAAAAGGCGGCUGAAAACAAUGAGCAGUUAAUUUUUCAAACCAGUCUAAUGAAGCCAAUUUAUGGUACGGAUAUGGCAAAUUAAUAAGAUGACAAACUUACUACUGUGUUUUCUUUUUUUUGAUUUUUUUUUUUUAAAAAAAACAUGAAAUACUGAUUUAGUGGAAAACAUGAUUUCAACAAAGUGUAGUGCGGGGAAGAUGGAAUAGUGAUUUAGUGGAAUCGAAAAAUACAAUUUCUUUUUUGAGAUUACUAAAACAUAAAACAGAAUACUGCAUUCAUCCACAGUUUCCCAACAACAUCAUCCUAGUCUUGUACAGUUGCGGAGGUGGUCAAAUUUUAUUCCUGCUCCGUGUCCCAUCUCUAGCAUAGCCUCAAUUAUACCAGAGAUAUAUUAUAUUUAUCAUCUAACAAACCCUAGAAAGCAAAUUAGGCAUGCUAUCAAUCCGAAACAGGAACUCUUUACUUCAGUCUAGCAAAGUCAAAAUUGAAACAUGCUGUCUAAACUGCAAACAUUGCAGUUCCUAGCUGAGUCAUUGUCCAUUUUUCUAGUUCCUUUCUUUUCUCCAACUUUCUCUCGAAGCCAUUACAAGGACUUCUCAUAGCAUUAUUUUCUGAUGAUCUCAAAAUUUACCCAUACUUUCUCUUUCACAAUCUUACAACAUCCCUGGUGAACUAAAUUGCAGGACUCAAGAACUCUUAUGAUCUCCUACAUAAACUCGGACCGUGGCUCUUGUUGCGUAGCCGUAAUGCCACGAAUGACACUCAAAACGACAUCAACCGCACAUAUUUGAAUGGCUCUCAACAAUUACUUGCACGGUUUAAUUGGCGGAGCAAGUUUCCUUUGUUUCCCGGGCGAUCGAUCGAGUGAAGUUUCUGAUGACUCGAGAACAUAGUUGACAUUUUCAAUAAUGGAGAUUCGGUUUUAAAAAGACAAAAAGAAAAAACGAAAACAGAUAUAGGAUAAGGUAAUUGAUGGAGAACUGGAAACUGACCCAGUAUCUGUAAGCAAGAACCUCGGCCGGGGUGCUCUCGGGCGGGCACGAACCGAGGCUGAUCUGCUUCACGACCUCGAUCUGGACCGCCUCCGGGUCCUCCCUCGCGCUCAUCUCCAGCGCCAGCUGUAUCUGAUACUCCUCCUCCAUAUCCGUCUCCGCCGCUGCCGCCCCAGUCCUCUUCGCUUCUAUCGCCGCCGCAUCCGCAGCCGCCGACGUCGUCGCCGACGCCGACGCCGGUGACGACGCCGAAGGCCCCGCCUCCCUCCUCUCUCCCCUGUGCGAAGAUGACGGUGAUGACGACGACGACAACAACUGCGGCGGCGUCGGAGGAGGAGGAGAACCCUGACCCGAAGGGCCGUGCUUCCCGGUAACGGAGUUCAACCAAUUGGAAAGCCCCGACAAGGGCUUCGGCUCUUGAUUGCCGCCGCCGCCGCCGCCGCCGCCGCCCUUAGUCGAGGGGGACGAGGGCCCAUCGUCGCCGUGGGAUUGGCUCGGCCCGAUGUGGAGCUUCUUUAAGAGGUUCUUCAUACUCCUCCUUCUCUCUCUCUCUCUCUCUCUCUCUCUCUCUCUCUCUCUCCUCCAGCUACUACCACUACUACUACUACUACUAUUGGAGCAUCGAAGGAUCAGAGAGGGGUCGAAGCAGUAGUAGUAGAAGCAGUAGGUAGAGGAAUUAGGGGAGAAGAGGGGAGAUCCAAGAUGCCCAUUGGGGUGCUUCGUACGUGCGGCGGUUGACCGACUCAAGAUUGGCACGGGGGAGCGGGAUUAUUACAAAGUAAAAGGAAAAAUAAUAAUAAUAGUGGGGGUUAUUUCUCUUUCUUGGGUACAGCAGUACAGCCUGACAGGAGAUAGAAGAAGAGACGAAAGCGGGGUGGGGAAGCGCAGCGCACACAGCGGGGAAGCACGAUAAAAAAAACAGGAAAAAGGAGGGGAUGGAGACCAAGUUGGACUGAUCGGGAUGCGGCGGUGGGGCCCGCAGGAGGAAAGGGAGAAGCCGGGUUGAGGCGCCCCACUUGGGCAGUCGGACCAACUGGCUCCUCUUGAGGUCCGGGCCGAGCUCCGCGUAGGCUCGCAUGCCGCGGAGCCGACGUGAGUGCCUCGGGCUUUUACCUCGAGCGGAAUUCGAGAGGAAAUCGCCAGAAAUCAUCCGCGGACCCACUCCACCGCGUCGUCCGUGAACCGCCCUAGGCUAGUCCUGCGCAUGUUCUCUCUCUUACGGAUCACUCAGGUUCACGCACAAGAUAGUCAAAUAAGAUGUUGUAUUCUUACCGACCGUUAUUGGGGCAUGUUUGUUGGUUGUUCAAAAAUGGAUGAAGCGAAAAAAAUCACUUUUACAAAAGUAAUUUUUACAAAAGUAACUUUUCAGUCUAAUUGUUUGGUUGACUAUAAAUAAAGUUAAAAAUUAAAACUAUAAUUUUGUUAUUUUGAUUAUUAAAUUAUAUAUAAAUAGAUGAAAAUAUAAACAAACGAUGCAUUUUAAAUUAAAAUUUUAAAAUUUAUAUUUAUAUUUAGAAUUUAAUAUUACAUUUUAAAAUUUAAAUUCAAAAUUUAAUUAAAAAUAAAAUUUAUAAAUUUAAAUUUAAAUAUAAAGCCACAAAUUUGAAUUUAAAAUUUAUGUUAAAUUUUAAUUUAUAAAUAAAUUUCAGAAUGUAAUCAUAAUUUUAAUUCAAAUUUAAAGUAAAAUUAAACUUUAAAAAUAAAUUUUUAAAUAUUAAAGUUAACACCAAAUAUAACCUCUUAGUUAAGCUCUCCACUUUCAGUGACUUCCAAAUUUUUUGAACUGAGGUCAAAAAAGUGUGAUUUAAUUAUAACUCACUUUAUUAGCCCACUUUCGUAAAAUGACUUUCAUAUUCACUUUCGCAAAACAAAUAACUGAUAAAGCGUCACUUUCUAAAAGUAUCACUUUCGAUGCUUCACUUUCGGCGACCUAAACAUGCCCUUAGUGAAAGUGACAAAUAAUUUAGUAAUUGGUACUCGAAAUUUUAAAUUUUAAAUUUAGUUGAUUUAUAUUUUUAGUUAAGUUUAUUUCUAAAUAAAAUAAACGAAAUAGGUAGCAUACUAUCUAUCUCUUAAAAAAAAAAUGCCGCAUUUUUUAUCUUUGUAAAAAAAUUUAGAGACUCUAAUAAGCAAAAUUUUACAAGUUGAAUGAGGUAUACAGGCAUGCCCAAAUGACAACGAAAAAAAAAAGAGUAUAUAGAGCGAUGUAUAAUAUAGUCACAUUUGUCUUUUAUUAUAUACAUUAUUUUUUGCACUAUGAGAAUCCAAUGAAGAAAAUUUGAUUUUGAUAAAAUAUUUAAAAAUGUAGCAAGAAAAGUCAUUUGAGAUAAUUUUCGUAUUAUUGGACUGAGCUAAUAUGGCCUUAUUUGACUAGUUAGGAAUCAAUUACGAAAAAAAAUUUUCAAUCUUAAUUUUUCUUACUAAUUUUAUCAUGUUCACAAAGUAUGUAUAUGAUAAAAAUUUUAAUUUAUUGGGUUGUGAGAGUUGACGAAAUGAUGAGAUAUGCAAAACAACAUAUGCUUUUGGAUUCUCUAUUUUGUAGCUAAUUAAUUUUUAGCAAUUGCAGAUUUUUGGGGACGUAGCCAUCCAUUUGAUGAAUUGCUACACCCUGUCUAGGCAAUAAUAUAAUUUGUGAUAGGGAGCGGGGGAAAAUACUGUCACGUGUGAGCCGUACGAGUUAAAUUGCAAUACAGCUCUAAACCAGCCACUUAUUAGAGAGCUGUCCUUUUUGGUGCACUCCAGUGGGCUUUGUCCGGACAUUAAUUUAUUGAGAGAAUGGAACUAAAAGAUUAUCUUUUUUGUACUAUUGUUGUGCAAAACAAAGCAUAUUCUAAGUUACAAAAUGUACUCAUGGUGCAUCGCCAGCCCAUUGUGUCUGGCAAGUGCUGCUCUGUUUCUUUUUCUUUAAAAAAAUAAUAUAAUAUAAAACCUGAGCUCUAACUCCUGGACUAACCGUAUUUAGAUUUAGGACUAUUAAAACUGACUUUUAAAUUUCUCUGCGAUUUGUGAGCAUGUAAAAACAAGGAGAAAUAGAUUCUUAACUUGCAGUUGGUACAUAUAUUAUAAUUUUGUAUUCGAUGAUCCAAGAUAUUCACCAAAUUCUAUUCUUGUAGUAAUAGCUCUUAGAUAUACAUCUCUGAUCGAUUCGCAAUACAACUUGCUACACAAUGUGCCCUUUUUCUUCUUAAGCUUAUCGCUUAACUGGUCUCUAGGGGUUGAAGGAAUAAUUUCAACAAAGCUUCAUCUUUUCUCUAAAGCUCCCUUUAAUUUAUUGGUUUUUUUUUAUAUAUAGAAAAGACUUCCGAAUCAGUCUAUUAAGUAUUUGAGCCCUAAUAGAAAGAUCUUAGAUAGACUAUAUUCCAGAAGCCUUAUACAUCGAUAUCACAGAAUCCUAACCUUUCCCAAAAAAGACUAGAUAUUCACACAUACUUACCUCCCUACUUUCUAAUCCGGAAAAGUAGAGCUAUAAAGAAGUAUAUAAAAGAGGAUAACGACCAAUCAGAUGAUCGAAUUUUAUCAACAUUACCGGCUUAAUUAACUUAAGAAAUGAUUUCUGGUGGGCUAAAUAAAUUUAGCUGGCCAGAGUAUUUUUCUUUAUCUUCUUCUUUUGUUUAGCCCACAUGCUUCCAAAAAAUAAGUGAAUGCUGACAUCUGCAAACUUUAGCCUGCAACAUGCUAAGACAGGCAAAGGAUUAGGUUUGUUAUUUGAUGGUCCCAUACCAGCUCCUAUAAAUUCUGACUGAUUUUUGAGGCAUUAAAUACUAGUAUCAUUUGAGAUUAGAGUUUUAUUAUGAGUACCCUCAAGAUUACCCCCUAGUGUAACCUCUAUGUCUCAAAGAAAUUGUUGCCUCCGCCCGCUGCACGAGCGAAACUUACGCUCUGCACGCAACAUUCAAUUUUAAUAUCUUAGAAUCAAAAUUUAAUAUGAUCUGAAGCGUCUAAAGUAACAAAUAAUUCCAAAGUCCAAUGGUAUAGAAAGAAAUUCACAAAAAAAGAGAAUCCAAAAUUUAUGACUUUGUGUAUUUAGACUUUUGGAAUGAUGUAUGACAUAUCCAACAACUAAUUUUUUAAAUAUUUUUUUCCAGUUAAUUGGUAGGUGGGUACCUUUAGUUUGGAAAAAAAAAAAAAAAAAAAACGUUAAAAAAAUUAAAGAGUAUACACUAGAGGGUACCCUUAUAAGCAUUUUGCUUCGAGAUAACAUCUUCCAGGCUCCACCAAAGUCUCAUGCUGCUUCCGUAAAAGGGCACUGAGAAUGAGGAGAAAAUGAGUUUUCCUUUCCCUUUCACGCCAACGCUUCAGAGCAUUUAUUCCCCCAUUCUUAAUGUGAUUCGGGCUAUCGAUGUAUUCAAUCAGUUUUUUCAAAUCCAAGCAUCAGAUUUUUUUUUUUUUUGAACUGUUCUUGUGAAUUUUAAAUUGAUUUUUAGUGGCCUAUGAAAUUUGUUAUCUAUUUUUACCUAUCCUAUACGGAGAAGCAUGGGGACUUCAUAUAUAUAUAUAUUUUUAAUUCAAGAGAUUUCUCAUACUUCUAUUAUAACGUGGAAUGCAUAUUUUUCUUCAUGUAAGCAGUACUUCGCUUGAAAUUGCUCGUUGACCCGUUUGCAUUUUAACUUAAAAUAAUCCUUUCUUGGGCCCGUGAACAUAAUAAAUUCAUGUAUGCGUGAGUGUGUGCUAACUCUCAUUGAUGUAAACUUUAUCUCAACGAAUCUGAGAGCAGUAGGAAUCACCCGAUCAAUUAAAUGUUUUACUAAGUUUUAAUGGAACGCUGACAUAAUUACAUAUUAAAAAAUGUUAUUGAUGAGUUAAUUAUUAUCUACAUGAAGCUUAGUGGUUGAUUUUUUUUCCUGAUUGAUAUUGCAAGUAAUUUGGUUUUUCAAAUUUUAAAUUAAAACUGUCUAACACGAUAUCGAAAAUAAAUCGGCUCAAGAGUCUCAUCAUGCCUAUUGUGCGUCACAAAAAAAUUCUAUACAUCUAUAAUGCAAUAGCAAUCUAAUAAAUCCUUCAGACGAGCCAUCGUCCACUGAAAUUUAAUGACAAAUUUUAUUAACAAUAUCAAAUAAUAAAAAAGCUUGACCGCAUAGAGGCGGGGCCACUAGACCAAUGCCCCUCAUAAUGUGGUAUAUUUAAUUGGAAAUUGGGAGCUUAAGAAAUCAAAAUUUAUUACUAUAUUAAAUAAUAUAGAAUUCAUAAAUGAGUGAUUGGAUGGGCAAAUGAUGUGGAGGGUACCAAUAGACAAAGAGGAUUUAGCAUGAUUGGUUGUGAUGAUGCUGAUGGCCCAAUCUCGACAGCUACUGUAAUGAUGGAAGAGAUAACAACCGGCCUUUGCAAUUGUUGCGGUUAUACAUUUCUUUUUUAUAAUAUAUAUAUAUAUAUAUAUAUAGAGAGAGAGAGAGAGUGCGGCUAAGAUGCUUACGAAAGCACGGAGGGCUCCGUACUUCUACUUUAUUUUCGAUGUUCGGACUUUCGAAUCGACGAUCGGCUCCGUUAGACUUGAUCUAGAGUAUUUGAAGUAUCUAGAAAAUAAAUUUUGCGAUUUUUCGAUAUCAUUUGCCUAGUGAUCGAAGUGGCUCAAAAUCAACGACUGAAAAUAAAAAUCUUACAAAAUAUGAUGAUAUGAUAUUAAAAUUUUAGAUCAAAGUUAUUGAUCUUGUUUUAUAUGGUAUAAAAAAUUUUCUAUCAAAAUUUCAUGUGAUUUGGAUAUUUCUACACCGUUAAACUUGCAACCGGCUCACCACGGCCUUUAAAUUAUUGAUUUUGAGGCCCUUCGAUCACUAGGCAAAUCAUAUCGAAAAAUCACAAAAUUUAUUUCUAGGUACUUCAAAUACUCUAGAUCAACCUAACGGAGCCGAUCGUCGAUUUGAAAGUCUGAACAUCGAAAACAACUUGGAAGCACAGAGAGCUCCGUGCUUCCAUAAGCAUACCAGCCCACUAUAUAAUUAUAUAUAUAUAUAUAUUAUAUAGAGAGAGAGAGAGAGGAGAGAGAGAGAGAGAGAGAGAGAGAGAGAGAGAGAGAGGAGAGAGUCCGCUAGGAUACUAUCGAUAGCAAGAGCUUGGUGCUAUCGAGUUUUCUACCAUUAGAUUUAACACCUGAUUAUUUUUACCGUUAGAUUAUACUAUUAACCAACCACCCACUCAACCUAGGAGGCUCACAUUAUCCUAACCGCACAUUUCUCAAUCCAAUGGCUAAAAAACUAAUAACACAAAUAGUUUGGUGCUACUGAUAGUAUUACGUCUAGUUCUAUUAAUAUAUAUAUAUAAAUAUAUAUAUAUAUAUAUAUAUAGAUCGGCUACUAUGCUAUUAAUAGCACGAAGCACUUGGUGCUACCAAGUUUUCCGCCGUUAGAUCUACCCUUUGGAUCAUUUUCACCCGUUAGAUCAUACUAUUCAACCAACCACCCACUCAACCCUAGGGGGCCCACAUCAUCCUAACCACACAUCUCUUAAUCCAAUGGCCAAAAACUUGGUAGCACCAACGACUUGGUGCUAUUAAUAGCAUAGUAGCCUAGUUCUAUAUGAGUCCGGCUACUAUGCUAUUAAUAGCACGAAGCACUUGGUGCUACCAAGUUUUCCGCCGUUAGAUCUACCCUUUGGAUCAUUUUCACCCGUUUUCUAGAACAUUUAAAACUUCUAGAAAUUAAAUUUUAUAAUUUUUCGAUAUCAUUUACCUUACAAUCAAUAGCUCACAAAAUUGACAAAUUUUAACGGCCGGUAUGUGAUACUUGUUAGUUUAACGGUGUAAAAGAAUCGAAAUAGCUUGAAUUUUUUAUAGAAAAUUAUAUUCAUUACCUAGAUAAAGAUCAAUAACCCCGAUCUUAAAUUGAAGGAUCCGAUCAUCUAUUUUUAGGACGUCAUUCGAUUUUGGCCGUUCAUUUUAUAUCCACUUAAUGGACUUUAUAAUGAUUUCGAAAAGUUACGAAAUUUAUUUUCUAUAAGUUUCAAAUACUCUAGAUCAUGUUUAACGGUGUGGAUCGUCGAUUCGGAAGCCUGAACAUCGAAAACAACUUAUGAGUACGAAGGACUCUAUACUCAUAAGAGUAUAGUAGCCCUACUAUAUAUAUAUAUAUAUAUAUAGUGAGGCUACUAUGCUUCUGGAAGCACGGAGCCUUCCGUGCUUCCAGAUCGUUUUCUAUGUUGCGACUUUCGAAUCGUCGAUCGGCUCCAUUAAACUUGAUCUAUAGUAUUUGAAGUACUUAGAAAAUAAAAUUUGCAAUUUUUCGAUAUCAUUUGCCUAGUGAUCGAAAGAACUCAAAAUCAAUAAUUUUAAUGGCCGUGGUGAGCUGUUUGCAAGUUUAAUGGUGUAGAAAUAUUCAAAUCAUAUGAAAUUUUGAUAGAAAAUUCUUUAUAUUAUAUAAAACAAGAUCAAUAUCUUUGAUCUAAAAUUUUAAUGUCAUAUUAUCACAUUUUGUAAGAUUUUUAUUUUCAGCCGUUGAUUUUGAGCCCCUUAGUUCGCUAGGCAAAUGAUAUCGAAAAAUUGCAAAAUUUAUUUUCUAGGUACUUCAAAUACUCUAGAUCAAGUUUAACGGAGCCGAUCGACGAUCCGAAAGUCGCAAUAUUAAAAACGAUCUGAAAGCAGGAAGGUUCCAUGCUUCCAAAGCAUAGAGCUUCACUCAUAUAUAUAUAUAUAUUAUAUUAUUAUAAUAUAUAUAUAUAUAUAAUAAUUUAAAACUUUAUAUUUAUAUUAUAAAUAUUUUUAUAUGAAAGAAACUAAAAUAUAUUUGAAAUUCAGAAUUGGAUAUGGGUAUAUGAUGUAUAAAUUUUUUUCAGUGUUUAGGUUGCCCGGUUAGUAUAUAUAUAUAUAUAUUAAAAAAAUAUAUAUUUUAAGUUUUUAGAAAAUAUGGCUUGUUUCAAAUUACUUAUUGUUUCAAGGCGCGGAUAGGAGAAAGCUUGAUGGUUGACAUUUGAGGUUUUAACUUCGAAAGUUAGUAGCUUUACAUUUUUAGCUAAGUUUAUUGUUGAAAAUAAUAAACGAAAUGAAAAGCAUGCUAUCUUUUUCUUUUAAAAGAAAACGAUUAUUUCAAAUUCUUUUAAUAUUAGAGGAUAAAGAAAAGAAGAGUUGCCUAUAUUAAAAGUGCUAUUCAAGAUAACUUAAUAUGAUCGAACCGUCCCUAGAACAAGUGGCAAAGAGCUUGGUGGUUGGUAUCCGAGACCGAACUUCGAAUCCUAGUUGAUUCACAUUUUCAGCCGGAUAGCGUACUAUCUAUCUCUCAAAAAAAGAAGAAGAAGAUAACUUAACAUGAGAUACAAAUAACAAUUUUAUUAAACAAUGUAUCUCAUUUAUAUAAUUUUUUUAUUUAGUAUACCCAGCUUCAUCUUCCAAUUUCUACUGGUAAAAUUCUAUUUCCAUAUCUCAAACCUAUUUCACAUAUUGAUACUGCAAUAAUUAAAAGAGAGUUGAUACGGACACAUUAAAUUUUGUUAAGCCCAAAGUGAAUUUACCUUUUCUUUUCCAUCACUCUACAAUUAUACUCUCAUUCAGUGGAAAGUAACUUUUCACUUAUGAGGGAACCGGAUUAAAUUGAGCAAAAUUAAAAGUAAUUAUUUUUCAAGCCAAACGCGCAUCACUUUUUUUUAAAAAAAAAGGCAACAUGCUACCCGCUUCAUUCAUUCAGAAGAUGAAUUAAACUACAUGGGUGAGGCAACACAGACCUCGAGGAUGGCGGAAAAAAAAAAACAACAUUAUUGCACUGAGCGCAGUUUCUCCCAAAGACUCAUCAACAGUUUAAUCUUAUAAAUUUUAAUGAUGGGGUCAGGCUGUGUUGUCUUGAAGAUCACUCCAUUCCUAAUCUCCCAAAGGGCCCACCAGCAGGCUAUUAGUCCAUUUAGGUCGGUGCAUCACUUUCUUAAAAAUCAACUUCUCUCUCUUUUUCUUUUUCUUUUGAUUUUAACAGGAAUGCCAUCUAAGCUACAGAGAAAAAAAAAUCCCUGAAAAAGAAGAUAGAAAGAGAGAAAACAUAUAACUUCUUUAUUUUUGAAUAAAAUUACAGAAAUUAUAUUAGAACCUAAUUAUUAGAUUAAAAUACUAUUAAUAGCACGAAGAAGUCAUUGAUACUAUUAAGUUUUCGGUCUUUAAAUAAAAAAAUAUGUAGUUAGGAUGAUAAUAGUCUUAUUAGGGUUUAGUAAAUUGAUAUAAUAGUAUAAUUUAAAGGAAGAAAAUGAUCAAAUUAGUCGAUACUAAAUGCUUAGUGCUAUCAAUUAUAUAAUAUAAUUUUUUAAUAAAAUAUUUUGUCGUAGGCAGUGCAUGCACGGCCUACGUUCUCUCGGCCCAGCGGGAGUGGAGGACGAGGCUAUCUCCGGACGGCCCACGGUCACCAAAUUUGGACGGCCAAGAUCGCUUUGUAGGCCGGCGAAACCGCAGAUCGCAGCCGCACACCUCCUACAGUAAAAAAAAACAACCCGUGGGUCCCACCCCCAUAAUUUCCUAUCCCUGUCGUCAACUGACAAAAAUUAUACGGGGGAAUAGCCCGAAACAAGUUUGUUGGGGCCACUCCCGGAUGUGCGCCACGUGGCAGCCGAUCCACGCGGAUCCAUCGGUCUCGUUGCUCUCCCUGUUGGGAGAGCAGUCUAUUUUUUUUUUGUGCACCCGGUGCACUAGUUUGUUUUAAAAUUUUAUUUUUUAUUUUUUAAUUAUAAUUUAAUAAUAUAUAUUAUGAUAUUUUUAAAAUAUAUGUAAAAUAAUUUAGAAUUUAUGAUUUUACAUAUAUAUUUAAAUAUCAUAAAAUAUAUAUCUAUUAUAUUAAAUUAAANAUUUAAAAAUAAAAAUAGUGCACCGGGAGCACCGAAAAAAAUCCGCUGCUUUCCCAAGAGGCAGGGCAGCGGGGACGGUGGCCCGGGGUGCCACGCGGCGCCCAUCCAGACUGUCCUCAAAAAAAAAAUUUUGGACAUGUUGUCCAUAAAUUUUUUGCCCGUCAACGUAAGAAGCAGAAGCAGAAACCGUAGCUCGGUAGCUCCCCUCCAAAACCAAACGCAGCAUCGGCAUCGGUUCCUCCGUCCCUUCGCCUUCCCCGCCUCAUCCGUCCCCACCAAACCAAAGCAUCCGCAUACUUCAAAAAAAGCAAAAAAAAAAAGAAAAAAAAAGAAAAAACAAGAAAAAAAAAAAGAGAGACAUAUAUAUAGGACUCAACGAGGAGACUCGGAGGUGCGCCGUGCGAUGGCUCUCCACGCCGCCGCUUCCUCCGUCGCCGCGUUCGCUUCGAACUCCCGACUCCGCCCCACCAACUCUCCCUCGCCGAGGGCUUUCCCCACAACGCCUCUUUUCCCUUCUUCUUCCUCCUCCUCCUCUUUCGCCCCUCUCCGUACACAUACAGGUUUCGCUCUUUCUUCCAAACUAUGCAUAUUUCAACUGAAUUUAUGUCGCAAGCAAAGAUUAUAUUAAUCUCUAAUUUUGCCUUUAUUAUCGUUGCUAUACCAAAAAAUAAAUCCUUUUUUUUUUUUCUUCUUUUGUGCGUGUGUGUGUUGAAUUGGACUGUACGAGCUAAGUUGAUUGCCUUCAGUACAGUAGAGUUACUUUCUAACACUAGUAAACUUUUUCGUUGCCAUCUGUUAGGGAUUUUAGGAAUAGCCUGCUGUCCCUGUACUGAAUUGCAAUUGUUGUCGUAGGUUGCGUAAGAGCAGCUGCGGGCAGCAAUGGAGUUCUCGCGGCCGGCGAAUCUCCGCUCAUAGUGUGCUUCGGAGAAAUGCUGAUCGAUUUUGUCCCGACCGUCAGCGGCUUGUCGUUGGCCGAAGCCCCCGCCUUCAAGAAGGCUCCCGGGGGUGCUCCUGCUAAUGUCGCCGUUGGCAUAGCUCGGCUCGGCGGUUCGUCGGCAUUUGUCGGGAAGGUGAUGCCCGGUAGAUAGUUCGUUUAUUUAUAUCAAAUUUAGGACACACCUUAUUCCUGCUUUCUUCGCGUUUGUAAGAAAUUUUUUCAAAUGUAAGUAAUUAUCUGUGAAAUCGUGGAUUACUCACUUUAUGCAAAAGAGCUACUUCUAUGGUUGUGAAUAUUGUCGAUCAUCUAAACUGUUUAUCUGCUAUCUUUCUCUCAUUUCUCGGUUUGUCCUGUUUGUUUCGUAACAUACGUAGGUCGGUGAAGAUGAGUUUGGCUACAUGUUGGCUGAUAUCUUGAAAGAGAAUAACGUGAACAACCAGGGCUUGCGGUUCGAUCCUGCUGCUCGAACAGCUUUGGCCUUUGUAACGUUACGAAGCGACGGCGAACGCGAGUUCAUGUUUUAUCGCAAUCCUAGCGCUGAUAUGUUGCUUGAAGUAAACGAACUUGACCUUGAUCUUAUAACAAAGGUAUGUGAUGAAUGAUGACCUUGAUCUUAUAAUUAGAGAGUUCCUACUAUAUAUACCUUACUUCUGUCGUGUAUGGUUUACACAGAAUUUACCUAUUUUAUAUUUAUAUAAUGUAAUUCUAACAUCUUGAUCAUUAAUAUCUGUUCUAGGCAAAGAUCUUCCAUUAUGGUUCUAUAAGCCUUAUAACUGAACCAUGUAAAUCGGCACACGUUGCAGCAGCUAAAGCUGCUAAAGAUGCUGGAGUGCUUCUGUCUUAUGAUCCAAAUCUGCGUCUACCGCUGUGGCCGUCGGCCGACAGUGCUAGAGAGGGAAUCUUGGGCAUAUGGGAAAUUGCUGAUAUUAUCAAGGUAGCUACUUUUCUAAUGCAGUGCUUCUUGAAAUAGUUUCUUGAUCUUAUUUAGCUCAAUGUAUUGGAAAUUUGCAAUAGAUCAGCGAAGAAGAGAUUUCCUUUCUGACGAAAGGAGAGGAUCCUUAUGAUGAUGCUGUUGUGCGAAAACUCUUCCAUCCAAAUCUUAAGUUGCUGCUAGUAACAGAGGGGCCGGAUGGUUGUAGGUACUAUUCCAAGGUAUGUAUUUGCCUAUGCAAUUUCUCAAAGCUCUUUGUUAUCGUUGUCUAAUUUCCACCAGUUUUGUUUCUCUGGUGCAAAACGAAAUAUAUAUAUAUAUAUAUAUAUAUAUAUAUAUAUAUAUAUAUAUGUCUACUUAUUACUGAGGAAAACAACAGAAGCAACUUGGAAGAAAAUUGAAAUUGUAAUUGAAAUUGACAUGGCUAUCCAUGAAAUCUCGUGUCCUCUUCCUUUGCUGGACUCAGUUUUUGCACUUUGCCGCCUGUGAUUAUACUUCUACAUUUUGUUAAUAAAGUUUUCAUUAUUAGAUGUCCAAAAUACCCAGUUAUAUGUCAGAAUAAGAUCAAACUAAUUGAAAAGCCAAAAGUACCAAUCUUAACAUAUAUGAUUUCAAAUAAUAUAGGAAUUUAGUGGGAGAGUAAGUGGACUAAAGGUGACAGCUGUGGACACUACUGGUGCUGGAGAUGCCUUUGUUGCUGGAAUACUAUCUGGAUUGGCCUCAGAUUUUUCAUUGCUCCAGGUAUUACUCUCUCUAACCUACAGUUGUACCAAAAUUCAUUUUUAUGUUAUGUUGAUGUUCUACAUUUCUGUUUCUUUUUUUUUUUAUUUUUAAGCAUAUAGUAUAUUGCAUGCAGCAACCACAGCUUAUUCUCUUCUAAAUUCUAACCUGUGAAGUGAUACUCUGAUCGAGACUUACUGGAACUAUCUUUGAAUAUUAACAGGAUGAAGGAAGGCUAAGAGAAGCUCUGAAAUUUGCAAAUGCUUGUGGAGCUCUCACUGUGAUGGAAAGAGGAGCAAUCCCUGCACUACCAACCCGUCAGGCCGUUCUCGAUGCAUUGGUUAACAUAAUUGCUUAAACUAUUGCUAGUUAUAAUCCCGGGCUCAUUCAUUGUUCGCGGCCUUGUAAAAUGAUUUAGCUUUUAGAGAACCAUAUAUUCAGUGAUUAAUUUUCAAUUGCAACUUCCCGACUUCCUGUUAAGAAACAAAACAGCUUUGCCGAAAAACUCGACCAUGUACUGUUGUACUCUAAAUUAGUAUCAAAAUAAGCUGUGGAUUGAGCUAGUCUUAUUUGUAAAUGGCAUUUGGUGUAGAGUGUGUGAAAAAUUAAAGCACCAUACUUGCUUAAUGACUUGGUUUGAGCUACUCUUAUUUGUAAAUGACAUUUGGCGUAGAGUGUGUAAAAACCUGAAGCACCAUACUUGCUUAAUGACUUAAUUGGGCCACACGCCAUAAUGCCCUUGAUUGCCUGGCAUAACAACAGUAAUACGGCUCCGAUUGACCAUUUAGUUUGAUUAAUUAUCGACCAUUUAGUUUGAUUAAUUAUUGAGCGCCUUUUCCACAUGUUAUGUGAUUAAUGAUUGCAUCUGGUGACUUAAAAUGGACAAUAUGAUGAUUCAAAACAACCUAAUAAUGGAUUAAUGCAAGUUAAAGGAAAGGUAUGUAUAAAAAUGACCAACAUUAGGAGAGGGAGGUAGCAGUGCCCCGUAAAGGGCCCAUAAAAGUUGGAGAGCACAUUUUUUGGAAUAUAUAUGGAAUAUAUAGCACUGUUCGCAUACAUAAAAGUGGGUGUGUAGAGCACAAUACUUAUCUAUAGAUACUGGAAACAGAGAAGAAGUGUUGGUUUCCACUCAUAAGAACCAGAUUCUUGCAAGACACAGUUACCAGAAGGCCAACACACGACAACAAAUAUUUUGGUGUACCCGAUCAAACGCAUCAUGCAACGUCUUUUAAACAUAAGAAACAUAAUCGCUUGUAUUUCAUUUGGUAGUAUUAAGAACUAGAUCAAUGUCGACAAAUUGAUAAUGGUUGCCCCCCUCCUCAACUAAAAAAGUGAUUAUCAACAAAUGAUUGAUAAUAUAUACCACCGGUGAGGUCGCCAAAUAAUAUCACUCGAGAAGCUUAUUGCAUGUCCCAACUCCAACCGCCGCCGCAAGGUGCCAUGCAGCAUGAAGAUAGGGGGUCUCGGGAAAGCAGUCGUCGGCGAAAAAUAGUGCACCUCCUAAUAGAGAGGAAACUGUGUGAAGGUUAUGAGCCAUUCUGAGCGCUGGUUUCUCCAGUGCUUUUCUUGCGAAGGCUACCUGAAAAACACCAAGUCAACAGAUUAUUAAGAAUCUCAAGAAAGCAAACCGUUGAUGUAACCAUCGUCUGUAAAGAGAUGUGAGCUGCUUAUCAGCAGAAACAUUAAGGAAUAGAUGCAGUUCCAAUGGGAAACUGUUGAAUUUCUAUUGAUAAAACAUAAGAAUAGAUGCUUUAUUAUGACUUGCCUCCAUCAUGCCUGUGUGGACAGCUGAAACCAUCAAAGGUUGAAAUGGUAAAAGCAAUGUUGAUGCGGCCAUUAGUACUUUUGGGUUCUCUUCCCUGAGUGCCCUUGAUAGACACUGCACAGAACGAUUGUCUAGUAAGGUACAGGAAGAAAAGGUAACUCGCCCCUCAAUUGAAACUUCCCGUUCGGGAUAAAUAAUAGUAAAAGUUAUUAUGAGGCUCUUUCAGCGAAACAAAUCGAUUCUUUGCCAUUCCUAGAAAAUACAUGUAUGCCCGCUAAGCCACUACAUAGGAACAUAGGAACAACUUAAGAAGCCAAAAACAUAUGAACACGUUUGAUUCUAGCUUAUAUUUUAGGCUAGGCAGGUUUAAUGAACUGAUACCAAAUGCUUUAGAGACCUUUUUCUGCUUAAUUAUCUUCUCUCUUAUGUAUCGAUAGCAGCGAAACAAAAAUAAGAAAAUGUAUGUUUGCGCACUCUCAUGUUCUUGUGCACUCUCAUGUUCUUGCGCAUUCUCAUGUUCAAGGAAUUCAUUUAGAUCGUUGACCAUUUUUUCAGAGGAAACUCCUCAAAUAUGCACAACCAGUUGGUAAGCGUAUCAAACUUACAAGUGAAGCUGCAGCAAUCAUUGUAUAGUCUGCCCAUCUCAGAUAUUUUCUAACUUCUCCCCUUGAAGAAUGAUAUAAGCUUGAUGCGAUCCCCACUCCAACAAGCGAAUUAGCAUAUAAUGCAGUAUUCAAGUUCUUCCUGCAGCACUGAUAGGUAAUUCGUCAGUCGAUAGUGGUAUAAAGAAACAAACGAGGGUGGGGUAUACAACUAAAGGCAUUCUAAUACGAAUAAAUUUUGAAAAGGAACUUGCCGUGGAGCCCGAAGUCCGAGAAAUAUGAAAGGCAUUGAGGUCAAGACAUUUGCAAUAGUUUCCCCGAUAUGACUAUCGCCUGAUACAGGAGAUAUAUACGCAUGUCAAAGCUGAUGCAUAAAAGAAAUUGUUGGAUGUGCGCACCAAUAACGGCCUAAGUAGAAAAUACCUUGCAGACUACAUUUGAUGGGCCUCAAGCACGACGGCCUCUGCUGCCAUAGUUGCCUGAGGAAACAUGUCAUACAUUACCCUGUUAGUUAUAUUUACAUAAGAUAUGUACAAAUAGUCCAAGACACACUCGAAAAUUGCAACUAAGUUCAAUUGUAAAUGAAGAACAACUCACCUGAUUAACAAUCCUUGGCUUAUUCCGACAAUCCCCGACCCAUCACAAGCUGAUUGAUCAAAGCCGCCUUGGCGAAGAUCCUCAUCCUCUCUGUAAGAUGAUCGAUUCACAACUUGUACCCCAUGGAGCCCUUCUAAAACUCUGGGCAUUGAUGCAUCUUUGAUGCCCAUUUAUACACUCGAUGGCAAGCAACCCAAUCUAAUUUCUUAUUGGCUGGUUGUCUCAUACGGCAGUUAGAUUAUCUGCACAUGCACAAAGAAAACGACACAAAAGGUUUGGUACAAAUAACAUGUGCAAUAGUCACUCUCUGAAAACUUCAAAAUCGACUUUAGGAAGCAAAAAUCGAUCACCAGCGAGAACAGUUCAAGUUCGUCUAUGCCCCACUCAAUGUGGCGUGCAAUCACAUUAUAUAGCCCUUAGGCGGAUACAUCUGUAAUUGACUCAGGAUCAUUCUUAACAGGUGUUGGUUGGCACUCAACACGCCACUUUUUUUAUCCAGGAAUAUUAGAUGCGCAGAUUAAAUCUGUUUCGUUUUUACUUAAUAAAUAGUGAACUCCAGUUUCAUAAUGUAUAAUUAGCGAAAUUCCAAUUUUGGUCCUCUUCUGGUUGAGUAAGGCUCUAACUAAGUAACCUAAGAUUUUCAAGCCCAAAUAACCAGAUAAAAUAUCACUAUCCUUGUCCUUAAAGAUGCAAGCACAUGUUCCUACUUUUGAUGAGAACUAUUGUCGAAGAGUAAAAUCCAGCAUAAACAUAAUGGAAUUAGGCUCUACGGAAUCGAUUCAAGCUGAAAUAGUCACAAUGCCAGAGAAGCACCAAAAUUGUCGGAUAAUUUUGCCCUUAGAUUUGCACAAGAUUCAAUAAAAGAGCAAAAAAUUACUAAAGAUAAUAGGAAAAAAAAAAAAGCCUGAAAUUGAUACAUACAAUCAACAUUAAUCAGGAGAACUCAAAACCCUUGCUCUAUGAAAUCAAAUCCAAUCCCCCGAAAAAUAAGAAUUUUCUUACGAUUCUUUAUACUUAAAAAGAAAUCAUAAUCAUAAUCAUAAAAUAAGAGAAGUAAAAAAAAAAAAAAAAAAAAAAAAAAACCUGAAGAGGAGGGCGGAGAAGCAGCUUAUCGUCACCGCGCGGCUUCGGCUUUUUCUCGCAGCGAAAACAUAGGUUAAUUUGUUAAAAUAGAACAUUUUCUUUAUAGAACGAAGUUUAUAAUAAAAUUAGUAUCUUAUUUUGAAGUAACUUUUUUUUUCUUCACAUCAAGAAAACGUCUAUCUGUUAAUUUAAAGGAUUCAAAAUACGGAAGAAAGAAUUUGAAGCAAACUCUAACGCAGUGCACGCCACUCUUUCAUACUAACUUUUUAUAAAACUAACAUAAAACAUGCAUUAUAACGCAAGAUAUAUAACACUACUCGGCCAAUAUUAUAUAAAAAAUGCCGAGAUAGCCUCUUGCAUUUUCAUAUAGGGAUAUAUAUAAAAAAAGAUUGAAAUAAAAUAGAUUAUCGCAGUUUAUUUGGAGUUAUGGUUUGAUUUGUAAAGGAAAAAAAAAAGGUCGAAAUAAUAGAGAGCCGAUAUUUUUAGCACCCUGUAAGAGCUCUAAUGCGAUGCGAAGCAGUCCAGACUAUAACCAAAUUGGUUGGUGUUGUGCGGUGCAAUAUUAGUCUAAAUCUCUGGCGUAUCCUGAGUGUGUCGGCCCAACGCAACCGUGAAGUAUGCCCCGCUUAGUUUAGGGGAGGAGACGGCUUAGGCGUCUCUCUCUCCCUCCCUUUGCAGCUUCGCUAUCUCAUCGCCCUCCCUUAACCCCUUAUAGGCAUAUUAAGGGGGCGCAUUCUAGGAAAGCCUUAGGCGUAGCAAAGAGGCUAAGGGAGGGGGGGGAGAGAGAGAAAUAUAUAUGAGCAGGGGGUGCGUAGGGGCNAUAAAAUUGUUUAAUUGGAUACUAAUAAUAUUUUGUAUAUAUAUACAUAAAAGUAUGGAGAAUUUUAUAAUUAGAUGUUAAAAGUGAUGUAUGAUUCAUUUAUUUCAGAUUGCAUAAAAAAUUAAAAAUACCGAUAAAAUGGUGGGUCAUUUACUGCUUAUCACAAGGGUUAAGAUCGACCAAAUAUAAAAAUUUAAUGAUAAUUACAAAAAAAAAAAGCCUAUUUAAAUACACAUGCAAAUAGUCAGUGGAUAUAUCAAAUAUAAAUAUAUAGAUAAAUCUGUUUGGAAGAUCAUAUUCAGGUUCAUGGCAGUUAGUUACAUUCUUAUUGAUGUACAUGCCGGGUGAACACAAACCAAUUUUUAAAUUAAUACUCCUAUAAUUUGAAAUUGUGUAGAUUGCAUAUUUGUGUAAACGCAUACUAAUCGUAUUCCCCAUGAGAGUGCGCUGAGAAAAGAUACUUGACAUUAUAAUUUUUUAAAUUUUAUAUAUAUAGUUCGACUACUACAUUCUUAUGAGUAUAGGUACUUCUUUGUUGUUGAAGCAUAAAAAAAAAAGGGGGAAGAAGAAGAAAAAAAGGAGCAAGAAAAAAGAUAGAAAGAGAGAAAAUUUGAAUAAUGGUGUAUGAGAUGAUCCAUACACUACGCAUGGAAAAAUUCGAGUUUAAAUUUUGAGUCUGGUGCAUAGGUUAAUCCAUGCACCAGGUGCAUAGAUUAUAAAAAGUGGGAUGUCCUCGUAGGCAUGAAUGGAUAUUACAAAUAGCAAAUUAGUCCUUUCCCUUUCAUAUGCUCCUUCAAACAUAUAAUAUUCUGUUAUUUUAACUAAGAUAUAAUAUAAACAAAUGGGAAUGACUAAUAUGUAAUUUAAUACCUAUGAUCCCAUAAUCCUACAUCGUAACUUCCCACAAACCUCACCAUAUGCACUUCCAUACGCACAUUCUCCCGGGUAGUUAGACUAGACCCAUAAAUAUCUCUCAAUGAGAAAAGAAAAAGAGGACACAGAUUUGAACCUUCAAACAUAUUCCUAAACAAAAAAAUCCAUCCCAUCCCCCUGUUCACGAAAGAGAAAAAGAAAGGUAUAAUAUUUUUUUCUUCACCAUUAAUGCCACAAUCAAAGCUCUCUCUCUCCCUCCUAAAAAGUAAAAAAAAAAUAAAAAAUAAAAGAAAAAGAAAAGAGGGGCCCUCUGUAUGUCCACCCUCAUCAAGCCCCUCCUUCCCGCUCCGCCCACUCCCCCAAGCUCCUCCGCGGCCUCCGCGACUGCAUCGACUCCGACGUCGCCGCGAUCCUCCGCACCGCCCACUCCAUCAAGGCGCAGCUCGAAGCCCUCGACGACUCCAACGCCGCGAACCGUGCCCUCUCCCCGCGCUUCGCCGCGGGGAUCUCCGUCGACCGCACCAGGAUUUCGGUUACCCACGGGAUCAGGGCGAAGCUUCGCGACGCCAUGAUCGGGUUCCAGAAGCUCAGGAAGACGAUCCUCUCCGACCACAAGGAGACCCUGAAGCAAAACUACUACAACGCCACGGGAAAGCUCGCCUCCGACAAGGUGCUCGACGAAAUGCUCAAGUGGAGCGGCGACCCCAUGGAUCCGCGGUGGCCGUGGUCACCAUCAACCGCCCGGGCGCGCUCAACUCGCUCACGCGCCCCAUGAUGGUCGCGCUCGCAGGCGCGUUCCGCCGCCUCGACGCCGACGCCGGGCGCGGCCGCGCCUUCUGCUCCGGCGUCGACCUCACCGCCGCCGAGGAUGUCUUCAAGGGCGACGUCAAGGACCCCGCCGCCGACCCCGUCGCCGCCAUGGCCGUGUGCCGCAAGCCCAUCGUCGGCUCCAUCGCCGGAUUCGCCGUCACCGCCGGGUUCGAGAUCGCCCUCGCCUGCGACUUGCUCGUCGCGGGCGGCGACGCCAAGUUGGUCGACACCUCGCCAACCCCUGCGCUGCCAAAGCCGUCCGAUCCUCACCGAUCCUGCGCUGCCGAAGCCGCCCGAUCCUCGCCGAUCCUGCGCCGCCGAGGCCGCCUGCUCCUCGCCGACCCCUGCGCCGCCGAAGCCGCCUGCUCUUUCGCCGAGCGCCUCGUCGCCUUCGCCUGCGUCGAGGGCUUCUUCUCCGGCUCCUGCUGAGCCAUCUUCUGGCUCAAGAAGCGUGGCCUCAUGCCCGGGCUCACCUUCUCCAACGAGCUCAUCUCCCGCGACGAGGGCCUCCACUGCGACUUCGCUUGCCUCCUCUACUCCCUCCCAGGGCUGGCAAACGAGCGAGCCGGCUCGCGUUCGACUCGUGUUCGGGUCGAUAUUCGACUCGCUCGAGCUCGACUCGAAAUUGAAUGAGCCGAGCUUGAACAAAAUAAAAGGCUCGAAAUUCAUUUCAAGCCGAGCUUGAGUAUUACUCGGCUCGUUCGAAUUAGGCUCGAAAAGCUCGAAAAGCUCGAAUAUAUAUAUAUAUAUAUAUAUAUAUAUGUAGUAUAUAUAGAGUAAUGUAUAUAGAUAUAUAUAUUAUUUAUAUAAGGUAAAUACUAUCUAUAUAGUGCAGCUAUGGUGCUUGUACAAGCACCAAGCACUUGGUGCUUGUAAGUUUUGUACCGUUAGAUCUACUCCUUUGAUUAUUUCCAACCAUUAGAUUAUACUAUUCAACCAAUCAUUCCACUCAACCCUAGGGGGCCCACAUCAUCCUAAUUGCAUAUCUCUUAAUUCAAUGGCUAAAAAUUUACAAGCACCAAUAACUUGAUACUUUUAAAAGUAUCAAAGCUCAAUUCUCUCUCUCUCUCUCUCUCUCUCUCUCUCUCUCUCUAUAUAUAUAUAUAUAUAUAUAUAAUGUAUUUUAAUUAUAUAUAGGCUUUAAUUUAAUUUGGACUAUUAUUGUUUGCCCAUAAAAUAAACCCAACAAGUACAACCAUGCAAUUGAGCCCAACUCUAAAUUUACAUAACACACUCUCUCUUUCAGACUUUCACUAUUGCACAUAAUACUAAAACAUGAUAACAUUCAAAUUCUCAAAUCCCUAAUUUUUUUUCCCCUCUCUCUCUCUCUCCUUCUCCCUCAGACCCUCACCCAGUCAGGCAGUCACCCUAGCUCACAUUUCUUGCAAUUAUUUUGUAUUUUGAACUAUUGAACAUAUUGCAUCAAAUUGUAGGUAAUGUUAUAUAAAAAUUAAACUAUUGAUUAUAUAAUGUCGGGAAUUUCAAUAGGCUCGUUUAGAGCUCGAGCUCGGCUCGACUCGAAAUUAGGCUCGCUCGAGCUCGGCUCGAAUUAAUUUCAAGCCGAGCUUGAGCCUAGAUUUAGGCUCGAAAUUAAUUUCAAGCCGAAUUUGAGCUGACAUAAGCUCGCUCGAGCUCGGCUCGUUUCCACCCCUACUCCCUCCUUCGCUCCGCGGCGGCGCGCAACCCGCGCACGCUCGACGAGACCCUCAGCGCCGCCGACGCCGAUCCCUUCAACAGGAAGCUCUUUGUCCACGGCCUUGGGUGGGAAACCACCUCCGAGGGGCUCCGCGCCGCGUUCGCCCGAUACGGCGAGAUCGAGGAUUGCCGUGUUGGUUUCAUCCAAUUCCGUCACCGGAGCUCGGCGAGCCGCGCCCUCCGCGAACCCCAGAGGCUCAUCGACAACUGCAUGACCGCGGGCCAGCUCGCCUCCACCAAACUCACCCCCGCACUGAACCAACUCGUCACCGCUCACCAGGUGUUCGAUCUGUGGCCACAAUGAGCCAUGGCGUCGGUCCAGGCUGUGGCGCUCAAGGCGGAGCACGCGUAGGCGGUGGACGCGCUGCAGAAUGCGCCGCAAUUGGUGUGCGGCGGCAGGCGGCCUGUGGACGCCAACAGCGAGCUCUUGGCCGCCGGCACUUUCGUUGACACCUGCCAGGACUCGUUCGACGAGUUCCUAGACGUCGACGGUUCGCACCUCGCAAACGUGCAGCAGGCUCGCCAAUAACAACAUCAGCCUCGCCGCUUACAAGGCCGCCUAGGAUGUUGCUAUGACGGAGUUGGCGCCAACGAAUCAUGCCUACCAAUUGUUUGACGAAAUGCCCAUGACACAUCUUUCGACGGCGAAUCCAAUCUGUACAUAAAGAGAGAGAGCGGUGCUCUUCUCUUUAUAAAAAAAUGUGUUAUUAAAAGAGAAAGAGCGGUGUUCUUCUCUUUAUAAACAAUAUAGCAUCAUCGAAAGAGAGAGAAAGCGGUGCUCUUCUCUUUGCAAAACAAAAAAAUAUUAUCAAAAGAGAGAAAGAGAUUACUUCUCUAAUUAUGAAGGAGAGAGGGAGCUUUGUUACAAAAAGAGAGGCGAUGAAGAGAUUUUCCCACCUUAGUUGUCCCAUGAAUGUAAAAGAGACAAAAGAAGAUCUAUCUUUGUUGUCUUAUAUUUUCAAAGGAGAUAAAGAGAAAAAAUGUGUUCUCUUAAUUCUCCUACAAUGAAGAGACAAAAGAAAAUUAGUCGGAUUACCGAUUAAUAUUCUUUUGAUCGUCCUUUUAUUGGAAGAACAAUGUAAUGUUCGAAAAUAAUCGAACUCUUUGAUUCUAUCCAAAGUUGAAUCUUUCGAUUUGGUCGAAUUAGACCAAAUUGAGAUUUAAUCGCAUUAGACAUUUUAUGUGAUUCACGACUGAGAAUUUGACAAAUAAAAAAAUGCAUUCGAAAUUUUUAAGCUAUGAAUUUGAUUCUGAAUCUUACAAUCUCAUAUGAUCCCAAAUUAACCACCUCAAAACAAUGGACCAAGCCCGUUCUCACCUCAAAUCUCAUAACCCAAGCUCAACAUGACCCAAGUUCAGCCCAAACAUAAAUUUGGGCCCAAUUCUAUGACUUGCUUAAAAGAAAAUUUGGACUUAUGCCAUACGGGCCUAAAUUGAGCCCAAGCCCACAUGUAAUUCAAACCUCCACCUGAAUCCAUAUUAAACGGGCCUAAACUGGGCCUAUGCCUAUAUCCAGAACUUAAAAUUUAAUUCAGGCCUCAACUUGAGUCCAUACCAUAUAGGCCUGGAUCUAGUCCAUGUUGGAAUGCAACUAUAUGGACCCAAAUUUGGACCAUGAAUGAAUCCAUCCGAGAGUUGAACCAUAACUUGAAGCUAUACCUAGCCCAAGUUUGAAUUCCAAACUGGUUCAUAAAAAUGGCUAAAUCGAAUAAAAUCUAAAUUGAAAACCAAUUCAGACCAACAUCAAACCCAAAAAUCUAACCCAAACCAAGACCUUAAAUCAUGCCUAUCAGAUCAAAUAUGAAACCAAACUCUACCAAUUUGUUAAGGGCAAAUCUUUUUAAUCCAAUUCUCUAGCAUAUUAAGCUAGAGUCAUAUUGUUAUCACAUUCAUAUUAGAUCAAAUUCUAAAAUAUUUGUUUAGAAUUGAUCAAACCAUCUAUUAGGUUUCACCUAAUCAGUUCAAUUGAACUCUAAUACACUUACUUAGAGUUCAAAUAAAUGAAAUUGAAUUAGACUCUAAUACAUACACUUAGAGUUUAAUUUAAAUUACAUUUGACUAAUCCUAAUAUAUAUAACCAGGAUUUAGUUGAUAUUUUACCUCAUGGUGAACCCAAAUUAGUCUCUAAUACAUACACUUAGAGUUUAAUUUAAGUUAAGUUAUAUUUUGACUAAUCCUAACAUAUAUAACUAGGAUUUAAUUGAUAUUUCAUCUCAUGGUGAACCCAAAUUAGACUCUAAUACAUACACUUAGAGUUUAAUUUAAAUCAAAUUUUGACUAAUCCGAUUUAGUUAAUAUUUCACCUUAUGGUGAACUCAAUGUGAGGUGUAAUUAAGCUCAAACAUAUAAGCAUAGAGCUUAAUUACAUUAGACUCUAAGAUAUAAAAUUAGAGUCUAAUUCGAAAUAUUUGGACUAAUUCUAACACAUACAUUUAGGAUGAAAGCUUAAAUCAAUUUAAUCAAAUCAAACUCUAAUGCACCUAACUAGGGUUUAAUUUGAAUCAAAUCCGAUUAAGUCCCAAUGCAUAUACAUGAAAUUUAAUCAAUCCCUCACCUAUGGUGAACAAUAUUGUUGAGCACUGAAACAUAUAGAGCCCAAUCAAAUCAAUUUGAUCAUACACUUUGAUUCAGAAUCAAGUUCAAUCAACCGUCAUAUUCAUUCAUGUACAUUGGGGGUAUGCCCCUGGUUAAGCCAUGUAACUAUACAAUGGAUUAUGUUAUAAAAUCCACCUUUUAUUCAAUUUCAGUCUAUUUCAGCAUUACAGAGGUCUCUUAAUCGAAGGUGUCCUAACACUUUGAAGGGAUAAUUAACAAUAAACGCUUGCGUUUAUUGGAAGCCAUGAAUCCACAAUACCUGAUAACCAUAUAUAAUUAAAUCUUAAUCUGAAUCAUGAAUACUACCCCAUGGGAAUUUGAAAAUAAGAUUAACCGUGCAAGGUGUGUCAUUCGUGGUCGCAGACAUUUGUAUUCAUAAGUUUUCAGUCGUUAGAUUUACCUUUUUGACCAUUUUCAUCCGUUAGAUUAUAAUAUUCAACAAACCACUCGCUCAACCCUAGGAGACCACUAUCAUCCUAACUGCACAUCCCUUCAUCCAACAGUUGAAGACUUAUGAGCACAAAGUAAAUUAUACUUAUAAGAGUAUAGUAGCCCUACUUUCUCUCUCUCUCUCUUUAUAUAUAUAUAUAUAUAUAAAUCUAAACAUAUGAUUCCGAUACAAAUUCAAACCUCUCCUCUCUGAAGUUAAAGGAAACACAAUAUGGAGUAUUGGAGUGGAGUAGGGCUACCAUUAUUUCUUUUUCUUUUUUUUUUUUUGAGAGAUAGGUAGCACGCUAUCCGUUUCGUUUAUUUCAUUUAGAAAUAAACUUAGCUGGAAAUGUGAAUCAACUAGAAUUCGAACUUGGGACCUGGGGUACCAACCAUCAAACCCUUUUGCCACUUGCUCUAGGGACGGUCGGUGGCUACCGUUAUUUCAAGUGAAAAACAAUUGGUAGGUGUAUUAGCUUAACACAAAAGCUAGUACUACAAUUUUUUUCUUGAACAUAUAUAAUUAGUAUAAUGAACUGUAUCGCUGUACUAAUCUUAUUUUUCUAAUCCUACUUUUCUUUGUGUGAGAUCUUUUUAGUUACUAUUUUUGUAGUUGCCCAACGCACGAUUUGAAGUUCUUUCACCAAUUUGUUAGCAUUGUACACAGCAACCACUAAGCCAAACCUCUAGGUGGGGUGGGUGAAAGAGAACUAACCUCUAUAGUGCGCACUUUGGCUUGGAAAUUAACAUUUCUUUGGAAAUUAGCACGACCACUUUCCUUUGCAAUGUUGUUUUACUUCCCUUUUUGGUAAAAAUCUGAUCUUAUCCCUCAUAUUUGUAAGUUCUUCUUUUAGGCACAUCUUCUUUUAGCUUGUUACAGUGUAAAAACUCAAUUUAGAUCAAUACUAACUUUAACAGAAGAAAAAAAAUGAAUUGUUUGGAGAAUGAUUUAGUGAAUGAAGGAAGCUAUUAAUUUAGACACUUAAGUUGGGGUUGAAACUUGAAAUACAGAAUUAGUAAUUGGAAAAUCCUUUUAUUCCAUAGUUUUAUUUUAUGCAACAAUAUUCUACUUGUAUGUAUCGCAAUCUAAUAGGACUUAAAGGCCCAAUAUUAAUUCUACACGCAAGUAGAGUGGUAUGACAUGCACUAUCUAUUUUUGUGAUGAAAAAGAGAUUCUAAGGACUUCAAUAUGCUGUUAUAUGUACUAGAAUCAAUAAGAGAGAAACACUCGAAAAGUACUUCUAUAUCUUUUCCUUCACGUACUACAACAGAAAACAAAAUAAAUAAACAAGACGAGUCUCGCAUCCAUCUGAAUUACGACACAAUUUAAUUAAAACACCAUCAGAAAUUUAACAAAAUAAAUAAACAAGACGAGUCUCGCAUCCAUCUGAAUUACGACACAAUUUAAUUAAAACACCAUCAGAAAUUUAUCACGUAAUCGUAUUACUGGAUCGCCUAGUUUUAUGUUAUUGUGGAGGUUUGGAUGGUAGUCUCAAAUUGUGCUUAUGUUGAGUAGAUCUAAAACUUUUUUUCUCCAGGCGCGCGGUACAUAGUCUUUUACUGUCCCUUGUCCUUCACUGAAAAUUAAAAAUUUCAAGUGAUAACUAGCUUGAAAUGAUCAAAUAAUAUUGCUACUUAUCCAACUUCAAAAUCAAAUGUGAGUAAAAAAUUGGUGAGCAGAAAUUAUGGUUUCUUUAGACUGUAUGUAGAGCCAUUAUUAUACAAUGUGUACGUAGGGAAAAACUUUGAAACAGUACUCAUAAAGAAUUCUUUUGAUAUACUGAUAACACUCUGAAUGCUAUCAAUAAACUAUCAAAAAAAAAAUGUAUAUUGUGAAUAGCAAUACAUAAACAACGGACAAAAACAAGUUAAAAAAACUAUUUUAAUUUAUCUAUCUAUAAUAUUGUUUUCACAAUUUAGAUUGGGCUUAAGUACACCCCACUACGCUGUAUUUUUGUUUUAUCUGCUAUAUUGUACUAUACUAUUCUUUUAAAAGAUACCAUCAUUCUAUCAUUUUUUAUCAAUUUCUACAGUAUAUUUUAGAGUUAUUGUGGUAUUCUAUUUUAUACUCGUAUUCUCAUAGAUCUCAUUAAGUUAUCUUUAGGGAAAACUUCAAAAACCCCCCCUGUGGUUUCGUGCAUUCUCACUUUGCUACCCUGUGGUUUAAAAUGUAUCAAUUUACCCCCCUGUGGUUUCAUUUUUAUCUUUUCGGAAGCUUUUUCGUUAAUAUUUCGUUAAAUUAUAUACAAAAAACUUCAGAUAACCAUCUAUAUUUAUCAAAUAGUCACUUUAGUAUCCUUUAAUUUUAACUUUGUCACUGAUUUUAAAAAAAAAUAAUAAUAAAAUUGAUAACAAAAAGAUAAAAACGAAAUCACAGGGGGGCAAAUUGAUACGUUUUAAACCACAGGGUAGCAAAGUGAGAAUGCACGAAACCACAGGGGGGGUUUUUGAAGUUUUCCCUUAUCUUUAUUUCGGCAAUCUAUAUAUAUGUCUUACUAUAUAUUAAUAAAUUAAUUAUAUUAGACAAAUUAUAAGAAGUUUAUUAAAAAGCAAAAGUUUGAUCCCAAGAAAAAUACAAAAUAAUAAAUCUUCAACAUAAAUUCAUUAAAAUUUUCGAUAGAUCUGUUUUAACCCAAUUCUUCCUUUUCUUUUGCGUUUUUUCAUUUUUUUCUGUUAAAUUCGAUUAAAUAUAUACUUGACUAUUUUGAAUCAGUACUUUUUCAGUAAAACUAUUCAAUUUUAUCUAAAAUAAUUUAAUAAUAUAUUUUUCUAAAAUAAUAGUACAAUAUAUGUAGCUAGGUUAGUGCAACUAAGGAGUUUAGAAUCUUAGAUUGCACCUCUUGUAAAAUCAUGCAGUUGGCGCAACACCGCUGCGAAAAGCAGUAGAGACUAGAGAAUGUGAGGGGACUAGAGCACGCACGUCAUGAUGGCGUGCUGAUGACAUCAAUUGUCCGGUCCCACCCCCCACCCCUCCUCCUCUCGGUGGUGGAUGCUGGUGGUGGCAUCAUUUCUCCCUCUCUCUCUCUCUCUCUCUCUCUCUCUCUCUCUCUCUCUCUCUCUCUCUCUCUCUCUCACACACACACACACACUCUCUUUGUUUCUACAGGACCAAGCCUAGAACGAGAAAAGAUUAAACAAAGGGGCGUCCGAAACCCUAGCGCGUUUCCAACCCAACCAUCAUAUUUAAGAGGGGGAGAGAGAGAGAGAGAUGGGAUAAAUGCAUAGGGAGAUAGUAAGGAGUAUAUAGUGCGCAGCAGGACACAAUCAUUUGGUCGUUUCUGGGGAGGGGAGGAAGGAGAGAGAGGAGGCGUGGAACUGCAAAAAGCUAAUCACCAACGCAGGCGCAGGGGACAAAACGUGGUUCUUCAACCAGGUGGACCUUUUUAUACCCUCCCCCUUAAUCAAUUUAUUAAUGUCUUACUUUUAAAAUAUAUAUAUACAUACUCUGUACCCUUUAUUAUUGACCCCUCAUCAGCCCUGGUCGGCUCCACUACUGUUACAAAGAAAACCCCAUUUUUCUAAUAAAACAAUAAUAUAAUAAUAAUAAUAAUAAAGUUAUAGCGCAAAAGGAGCUCGUAGUGCCGUACACGAGCUUCCCCUCCUCCUAUGUGUGUACAUGUGUGCUCGCGCUGAGGCUUCCGCACCUUCCUCGUCGAGCACUUAACCAAGGUCCAAGCAAAAAAAAGAAAAAAAAAAAAACACACACACACACACACACACAACACAAAAAGCGAAGGUAAAAGAAGCGAGAAAGGCUUAAAAGGAGACCGACCAUUGACUGGAAAAGCUAACGAAGAAGAUAGAGAUCGAGAUCGAGAAAGAGAGAAGCAGCAGCAGCAGAAGUGGGAAGGGAGAGAGGGAGGGAGGGAGAGAGGGAGGGAGGGAGGGAGAGAGGGAGAAAGAAGCACAAACUUUGCUAUGUGGGAAGAUAGAGUUCACGGUCUCCACUACACCGCCACGAACACUUCUUCUACUAGUACUACUACUGGUGCGACGAUACUCGGAGGCGACACCGCAACCGGUCUCUUACACAACCCCACCACUAUUCUCCCAUGGGCGGUAAACCCUAGCGCCUACUCUCUUCCUUAUCAUGCUCCCUUCAACGGCGACUUUUACCAGCCCGAGAGGAAUUUUCCGGCGUUGGGCGCGUCGACGGAUCAAGCAGAUCUGUCGGGCCUGCACAUCGGCUCGUCGACGGAGAGACUCCUGCACGGGAAAGCAGGGGGGUUGGCGUCGACGAUGUCGAUCUUCGGGAGCCUCCACGCGGAGUUCGGCAAGAUGAGCGCCAAGGAGAUCAUGGACGCCAAGGCGCUCGCCGCCUCCAAGAGUCACAGCGAGGCCGAGCGCAGGCGCCGCCAGCGCAUCAACGGCCAUCUCGCCAAGCUGCGCAGCUUGCUUCCUAACACCACCAAGGUGAGAUCAGUAACAAUAAUUAAUUCCUCCCAUUAAUCCACUAUAAUUAUUAUUAUUAUUAUCAUUAUUUCCGUCAUCUGUAAAUUAUCUGAAGUCGAUAUAUGCAUAUAUAUUCGGGGAUCUCACAUGGAUUUUACAUAUAUUCUAAAUUAAAGAUACGAACGAACGAGUGGUGCAAUCACUCUUUGGGCGUGUUUGUUUGUUUUUUCCUGAUCUUCCAGCAGGAAACUCGCUCUCUUGUCGGAGAUUGAACAUGAGGUGUGUUUGGAGGCGUAUGCUAUGUUUCCUACCAGCACCAAGUCAAAGAUCACACAUACAGGCGCUUAAUUCUAUCCUUCCACAAACUGAUGAUGAUUUUUCUUGGGCUGCGAGAAUUUAGAGAGAGAGAGAGAGAGAGAGAGGAGAAAAGAGAGGACAAAGAGGUGGAAAAGAGCCGCCGAGUUGAAUGUUGUUUGACGCUCAAAAGGGAAACCGGAGGAGCAGAAUUUGAACAGAUCAGCUUUUCGUGGGAGCUGCUUCUGCCGGAAAACUAAAAAAAAGCUCCUAAGAAAGACAAACACGCGCACCCCCUUCUUGUCAGAACCCAUUAUUAAAGCUGAACCGGAAAAAAAAACAAAAAAAACAAAAAAAAAAAAAACGGGCACCACCACUAGUCGCACGGUUCUGCAGCUUUUUUUUCCCCACGCCCAUAAUCCCCCGUCCAUAUCCACACUCCCUAACCGAACCUAUUAUUCCCAUUCAAUUGUUCGUUAUAUAUUUCAGAAACAAGUCUAUUAUGUAGAUCUAAUGGAUAAGAAUUAUAAGCUCUUAUGAAUCGCUGUUGAUUUGAUAUUAACAACAGCAGUCAUUUUAUUAUUAAAAAAAAUAAUACCAGUUGUAUUAGUAUGUCAAGAAUACAUAUCUAUGAUUCGAAUGAUGCAUAUUGAAUGGUGAAUCUGUUCAAUUUGAAUAUAUAUAUAUAAAAGUUUUUUUUUUUCUUUUUUAUUUCGUUAAUGCGGAACCAAUACAAUUCAAAUUGAGUUAUAAUUGUUUUGGUUCCUCUCUAUAUAUAAUGUGACAGACGGAUAAGGCGUCGCUGCUGGCGGAGGUGAUAGAGCACGUGAAGGAGCUGAAGCGGCAGACGACGGCGAUCACGGCGGAGGGCGGCACGCUGCUGCUGCCGACGGAGGCGGACGAGCUGACGGUCGACGCGGCAGGCAGCGACGAGGACGGGCGGCUGGUGGUGCGGGCGUCGCUGUGCUGCGACGACCGCUCCGACCUCAUCCCCGACCUCGCGCGGGCCCUCAAGUCGCUCAAGCUCCGCGCCCGCCGCGCCGAGAUCGCCACCCUCGGCGGCCGCGUCAAGAACGUCUUCAUCAUCACGGCCCACGACGACGCCUGCCAUAGCGACUGCGUCGCCUCCAUCCAAGAAACGCUUCGCGCCGUCAUGGACAAAAAAACUGCCACCAGCGACACGUCAUCGUCCAGCAGCGGAAUCAAGCGGCAGCGGACGAACCGCGUAGAUGAGCAACAAGGUUCUAUCUAAUUAACUAAUUUCUAUAUAUUCUCUUACCAUCUUGGGUACGUGCUUAAUUAGAUUUUUAUCUGCAUGGUGUUGGAGUGUUGUGGUGUAUGUGUGUGCGUGGGCGGUGCAUAUAUGUGUGCACUUUUAACAAGAGGGAGAAUUUUAUGUAUCCCUUUGUUGUUGGGUGGUUUGCAUGGGGAUGAGCUAGGAAGGGCUUUGAGUGGUGUUUCUAGGGACAAGGUUUGGGUUGUGAAAAAUAAGCGGAUCUGAUUAUAUCAAUGGGAGAAGAUAAGUUGGGUUUGUGGCUUUAAAUGAUAGAUUUAGUCGACUAAUCUCUAUGCAUCUCUAUGAUAACUAUAUAGGUCAAGCAUCUGCAUUGGUUUUAGGAGACCUAUAAACCUAAAAUCAUAAUAUAUCUCGCAUAUUUUUCUCUUGAAUUUAUGUUUAAUUUCGAUCUCGUGUGCGUUAGAGAUUUUAUGUUCAAUUUUAUGAUUUCUUUUGAUCAACUAUAUAUUAUUUAGCACUAAUGUAUGUCGAAUACACAAUUUUAAAACAUCUGUCUCUGGUUGUUUAAUUACUUUAAAAUUCAGUUAUUUCAAUUUUCUAUAUUUAAAUCAAGUUCAUUUGUAUAUGUUUUGAAAAAAUGUCAGGCCAUUUAGUGUCGAGUCCUUUUAUGAGUUUUUUUUUUAAAAAAAAAUCAUGUAAUCAUGUGCCCAUUGGUACUUGGCUUGUUCAUUUUUGUAAAAAAAAUAGAGCAGGUUAAAUUUUUUCUUUCUCUUUCUCGAACAAAAAAUGUUGUGAAUAACACUGUAAUUUGGCUUUCCUUUCUUCUUUUUAUCUUUUUUUACAAGCAUUCAUUAAUUGGAGCCUUUGGACUAUGUUAGAAUUAUAGUUUUUUUGUUUUUUUUGGGUAAAUGUGUUCUACUGCUUGUCUAAUUAUUACAUCUUAGUUGUCUAUGUAUAUCCUGAUACAUAUAUGUUUCUUGGACUCGGAAAUAUUAUAGAAACAAUAUAUUUGACCUUUGCAUGAAGAACACGAGCCAUAUUUUAUAUUGUUACUUUACCGUUCUUCGUGUUUAGUUUCCACCCCUUCAUGACCAUAUCAGAAGCAAAGGUUCUUCACUAGUGAUAGCAUGUAAUUUUUAGUGAUAAAUUACUUUAAGAGUUUGUCGGCGAAACUUUCCUUUUUAUUGGUGCUUUAUACAAUUAUCUUUUGUUUUUCUUUUACAAUACUCUCUGGGAGGGGGGUUUCUCUUUCCAGUUUUCGUUCAAAAAAAUUUAUCUGCUUUUGCCACAUUAGUGUGCAAAAAUAUUCAAAUGGGGAAUAUGCAUGUUUCAUAUUAAGAGUAAUGCUUCUAUACUUUUUUUUUUUUCCUUACCGUUCAAUCACUCCCACUCAACGGUACAGAUUUAAUUUUCUUAAAAUUGUGACCUACAAUAACAGGUCAUUUUAGGAAUGGUACCGGUCACCAGGUACCUCAAAAAAGGAUAUUUUUGUCUUUUAAUACAUGAGCAAUUUAGUCAUUUUAUCUCUAUUAUAUUAUUAAAAUUUUAUUCUCUCUUUAUUUCUUUUUUCUUUCUCUAUCUUUCCUCUCAUAUUUGGUAUUUCAUAUAAGAAAAUUUUCAAAUUAUUUGACAACAAGAAUAUGAGAUUAUUUUGUGAACCAACUAUGGAUUUUUUUCUCUAUACAUCUUGAAUCCAACCCGAAUCAUAUAUAAAGUUUAAUAUUAUAUUCGAAUUUAUAUUUUAAAAUUUUAAAUUUAAUAUAAAAUAUUUUGAAAUAUGGUAAAAAGAAAUAAUUGUUUCGGGUUCCAGUCUUUCGGUUUGGAUUUGGUUUUGGGUUUAAAAAAAUUGUUUAGUUUCGGGUUUAGAUAUGGAUUUUUGAAAUCCAUCGAGUUUAGAAAUAGAUUUUGUGAUUGUUAAUCAAAUUCGAAUUCAAAUUUCUAACCUUUUUUUUUCUGAAUAGUAAUCCUAAUCUUUUUAAUUUUUAUGUUUAAACUAAAUUCGUAAAUUUCUAAACUAAAUUUGUAAAUUAAUGCCUAAUUAAUGCCUAAAUUAGGGUAAUCAAUUAAUUUCCUAAAUUAGUGCAAAUUAAUGUAUAAAUUUAGGAUAUCAAUUAAAAGUUUCUUUAAAUGAUGUAUAGUUUAAUUACCGAAAUAACCUCGAAUGAUGUAACCCAUUUACCUGCUAAAUAUUAAAAUUACACCUUUACCCUCUAUUAAUCAACGGUUAAGUUUUAUUUUAUUUUUUUAAUAAUAAAGUACCGAAUCAUUUCUCUCAUAUUAAAAUUAC
RNAcentral lists this long non-coding RNA (57684 nucleotides) under Ananas comosus (pineapple). RNAcentral describes it as "long non-coding RNA (ACOM_LNC004437)". The record is from RNAcentral. Lineage: Eukaryota; Viridiplantae; Streptophyta; Magnoliopsida; Poales; Bromeliaceae.